RNAcentral lists this long non-coding RNA (54311 nucleotides) under Chlamydomonas reinhardtii. RNAcentral describes it as "long non-coding RNA (CREI_LNC000535)". The stretch from base 53169 to 53253 matches the Rfam family "tRNA". The record is from RNAcentral. Lineage: Eukaryota; Viridiplantae; Chlorophyta; Chlorophyceae; Chlamydomonadales; Chlamydomonadaceae.
GGGCCACCUGGCCCGCGGGCGUGGGCCAGCCUGACGCACAUCUUCCUGGAGUGUCCAGCUUAUGCGCAGGCGAGGACAUGGCUGCAGCAGCUGUGGGCCUGCGUUGCGCCCCAGGCAGCGGCGCCGCCAGUGACGGACGCAAGCUUCAUGCUGGGGGACCGCAUGGGUAUGUGGGCCUCAGGCCCGCGGGGGGCGGGCGCGCUGCUGUGGAGCACUUUGCGGGCCACCUUCUUGUACGCCGUCUGGUGUGCGUACUGGUCCCGCGAGCCUGCUAAGCAGACGUCGGAGCAUGUGGUUCGGGAGGUUGUCAGCGAGCUGCGCAGGGUGAUGCAGCUGCGUUUCACUGCCGCCACGCUAACCCCUGAAACCCUGUCGGCUCUGCCCACUCAGCUUCUCACCGCUCAGCUCAAGGCGGCUAAGCUGGAGCAUUUUGUUGCCAUCUGGUCGGCGGGUGGCGCGCUUUGUGAAGUGGAGGAGGUUCAGGGUGGGUCACCGAAGUUGAACUUGCGGCUGACGCUUGCAUCACCUGUGCAGGCCCCCUAGGUUUCCUUUUGGGCGGCGGUUCUUUCCAGGCGCUGGCGUGGUGUUUAUCGACAUCAGCUUAUCUGGCGCCCAUGUGUUUUAGCUCUGGCUGGCAUCGCAGCGCCUGGGCGGCUGUGGGACUUCCUGCACAGCGCGUCUUGCAGCGGGCUGGAGCCCGCUUAUAUUAGUCAGCGCCACAUCUGGCCCGUUUAGUUUUCUGCUUGUGUCUCCUCUGCCGGUUCUCCUGGGGUGUUGCUUAAGCAACCGACUUGUGGGGGUGGGGUGGGUUUGGGCGGGGCGAGUGCGUAGCGCUGGUGUUUCGUUUUCUGGCGCGCGGUGGUGGUGGUUCUUGCGGUUAGGCUGUGGUGUAGGUUGGUGCUUGGGUUAGGUCUGGCGGUGUUUUUUUUGCUACCCCUCCCGGGGGGCGGGGGGGCCAGCCUCCUGCUCUGUCUGCCGGGUCGGGGUGGGGUGGGGUGGGAUGGAUGGGGGUGGUUGGUGGCGGUUUUCGAGGUGUUUGUUUUCUGUUUUUCUUCUCUUUUCUUCUCUUCUUGCCCUGUCAGGGUUCUGGUCUCGGGGACCAGGCUGCUUUCAGGCAGCAGGGGGGCAGCGCGUCUGCCCCUGUUCAACCUUGUAAGGAUGAUUCCUCAAAAAAAAAAGGAAGAUGUGCGUUAGGCUGGCCCACGCCCGCGGGCCAGGUGGCCCGCAGGCGGGGUGAGGACAGUGCGCCCCCAACCCCCCGCACCCCGUGGUCACCCGUGGACGAAUUCCCUUGCCCGCCCUGUACAGCCCGCAAGGCAGGUAAGCAUGUUGCAGCCGGCACACCAGCACCUUAGCCCCCCGACUGGCGUGGCUGUCCCACAGCCUCCGCCACGUACCCCGCAGAAGGGACGCAUCCGGGGGCGGCAUGCGAGGGUCGCCCUCCACCGCCGCCGCUGCUGCCGCCGCCGCCGUGGCAGGCCCAGUGCUAGGCCCCGCCCCGCCCGCCGCCUGCUCCUGCAGCCGUGCGGACCGCCGCGGCCCCUCACCCGACUGCUGGGACGGGGACGCAUACGACUGCAGUUCUCUCGCCGGCGUGUUCUGCUGCCCGGCAGCCGCAGAGGUGCGGUGGAGCCAGGGGUCCAGAGCCACCGGGUUAUUGUGGAAAUGCUGCGCCGCCGUGGUGGUCAGCUGCGCCGCUGCACGCUGCCACUCCGCCUCCCGCUCCGCCAGCCGCGACUGUGCCGCCGGCUGGGUCCCCGACCCCCCCGCCUGCUGAGCUGGCGCCGGGCACGGCAUGGCUGCGGGGCGGGCCGGAGCCGGAGGUGCGGCCGGGUUAGCCGCGGUGAUGGCCCGCCGCACGUCCCGCACCGUGUAGUCCGCCAAGCUGACACCCGCAAUCCGGCAGUGCUCCGGGUGCACCACCACCCCAGCCUCCGGCGCCAGGAAGUACGGCGCCCGAGGCCACGCCCCCGCCCGUUCCCCUGGUGAUGCUGCAUCGUACGCCGCCCGCUCUUCAAAGGUCCACAGGUGCCGCGGCUUGCGAUGCUGCAGCACACAGGCAGGCUGCCACGCCCCAUCCACCGCCGGGGGCAGCACGCCAGGCCCAGGCUCCAAGAGCCGCCCCGUUUUUUUUUUUUUUUUUUGUAGUGGACGUAGGACACAGCCCCCGCAGCGUUAGCCACCCACAGCUGGUCCAGGCUAACCCGCCACUGUGGCGGCGCCGCUGGCGGCUGAGUGGCUGGCUGCGGCGGAUGCUGCUCCACGCCCGCGCUCCGCACGUGGCCGACCGCGGCCGCCAGCCGGGCAGGCAGCCCCGCUGGCGCCGGCGCGUCGCUGUACACCCACGCCCACGUGGUGGCGGAGUCCGGGCGCACAUGGGUAAGCAGCGCCCGGGUGAGCGUCUUCCAGGGUUGCCGGCCUGGCUGGGCAAGGAGGGCGAAAGUCUUAGCUUGCAGGGCAGACAGGAACGCAGGCAGGUUGACGUGGUUGACACCCCCAUCCUUGUACGGCAGACAGGCCGUUUCCCGCUUUGGCAGCAGGAGCGGGUUCCCGUGCGACACCAGGCUGGCGUCCUCAGCGUGCAUGGAGCGCGCAGCAAAGUGGUCCACCAGGUCGGUGAGUUCCUUCAGCUGCGCAGGCGACGGGUUGAGGAAGCUGAAGUGGUAGGCCAGCUUCGCCGCCAGCACCUGCUUCGCAAUGUGCACACGGCCAACGAGGGUCAGAGACAGGGCAGCCCACAGACGCGCCACAAACGCCAUGCCGCGAGCCCGCCGGGUGUACAAGUCAGCUGCAGCCGCAUCCGAGUCCCACGACAGGGGCACACCCAGGUGCGUCACGGCGCCAGUGGUAAACGGCACCCCCGUGUGUGGGCAAGGGCCCGUCAGGUGCGCAAACCUGCCAAGGCCCAUGGCCUUGCUCUUGUCCGGAUGGACACGGGCGUUGGACGCGCGGCAGAACAGCUGUACUGCCGCCAUCAGGACCGGCCCGUCCACCGCCGGGUCGCGCGCCGUGAGGGUCGUGUCGUCAGCGUGGUGGGCAGCAGGUGGCGCCUGCUCGCCGCUGGGUAACAGGGGCGUGCGCAGUGCCCCUUGCUCCACCUGCCGCCGCAGAAAGGACGUCAGUGGCUGCAUCUGGAUGACCCACAGGGGUGGUGAGGCGGUGCUGCCCUGCGGCAAGCCGUUCAGCACUGGGAAGGCGUCAGAGAGCAUCCCGUUCACACACACGCGGGCAGAGCCGUUGGCAGUGAGCAGGCGGAUCCAGCGCAGCAUGCGCGGCCCAAACCCAAGUCCCUCCGCGGACGCAUACAGCCACUGCCGGUGCACCCGGUCAUACGCCUUUUCAAUGUCCAAGAAGUACAGCGCACCACCCUGCCGUGGCGCGCCGUCCGCGCCCACGUCCAGGCGCAUCCAUUCGAUCAGGCCUUGGAGGUACAGCGCGUUGUCUCCAAUCCAGCGGCCGGUGAUGAACGCGGUCUGCAGCUCAUCCACAACUGCAUCCAGGGCGGGCUGCAGGCGGGCGCUGACGGCCUUGGACACCAUCUUGAAGUCGCAGUUGAGCAGCGUGAUGGGCCGGUAGGACGCCAGCUCGGCGCGGUCCAGGCUUUUGCCCUUGUAGAUGAGCGUAAUGAUGCCCUCCCGCCAGGAGGCAGGCAGCGCCGCCGCCAUUUCGCCGCCAUCGUGGGCGUCUGCAGCGGCAGCAAAGGCAGCGGCAGCAGCAGCACACAAGCGCGGGCCCAGCAGCGCCCAGAAGACCUUGUACACCUCGUACGGAACCCCGUCCGACCCAGGUGCUUUACCAUUGGCGGAGCCAGCCAGCGCUGCCAUCAGCUCGGCAUCACUGAGGGCGCCGUCCCCGGACCCCUCUGCGGCGGUGUGCAGAUCCGCCGGAACCUUGCGGUCAAUGGCCGCCAGAAGCUGUUGCUGCGACGCCGUACAGACCGGCUGCACACGGAACAGGCCGGUGGGGCUGGUGCUGCUGUACAUGGCUGCGGCGGCUGCGGAGACAGUGUUGCGCGUGCCCGGCCCCGUGAGCGCCACAGGCGCCGGUUGCCCCGGCACCUUCAAGUGCGUGAUGGGCUCCUGCGCGCCGGCUGCUGGCUCGUCCGCCUGCCGAUGGAACCAGCGAGUUCCCCGCUCCCCAUGCUCCUCCAUCAGUGCAGCGCGGGCAUUGUGGCUGGCCGCUGCGGCAGCUGCCCGCUCCUCCCGCACCGCCAAGUUGGCCAUGGCCGCAGCCUGACGCUGCGCGGCGCUGGCACCCGGACGGUCGGCCAGGGCAGCGGCCGCGUCUGCGGCCAGCACCACGCCAUGCAGCCCAUCCCGGGUCUGGCGUGCAUGCCGACGGUGGAUGCUGGUGGCGGCCUCCCGCAAGAAGAACUUGUCCGCCUCCCAUUGCGUGCAAGCGCCGUCACCUGUACUGGCCACGGGAUUUGCGGCAACGUGCGCCACCAAGCGCUGCUCGAGCUCCAAACGCAGCGAGGGGUGAAACAGCAGGUACGUGGGGAAGCGCCACUGCUCCCGGUGCGCAUGUGGCAGGUCGGGCAAGGACAGGGUGAGCAGCACACCGUUGUGGUCCCCAGGCGCCCCAUACGUGCGAGCGACAUCCACCACCCACGGCGCCGCGGUGGCACUGACAUACCACCGAUCCAGGCGUGCGGGAGUGGCCGGCUUGGGCGUGGCCGGAUGCGUGUAGCCCUUGGCGCCGCCACGCUUGCUCGCCCAAGGGUCCACCAGACUGAACUGGGCGAGGAGGCUGGCAAGUUGCGGGGCACCUGCAGCACGUGACGGGCUAGGGGCCGCCUCCUGACUGGCAUCGGUGACACAGUUCCAGUCCCCACCGACAACAAGCACCCUGUCCGUGGCCAGGUGGGGAUGCAGCCCGGCAAAGAAAGCAGGCUUGUCCGCCACGGCCGUGGGCGCAUACACACACAUGAAGCGCAGGCGCAAGUGACCCAUGUCCCAAUCCCAACAUACCACACGGCCCGCCGCAUCCGUUGACGGCGGCUGCAGUACGCAGCCGGGAAGGGACAGCCGACUCCGCGCCAGGAUAGCCGCCCCACAGGAGUGGGGCGACGCUGCCGGGCUGGCAGCGAGGCAGUGGCGCCACGGAAGGCACGCCCCCUGCGCGGCACGAAGGCAAGACUCCAGCGCCGUCGUGUCAGUAGCGUGGGUCUCCUGCACCAUCGCCACAUCCGCCCCAACUUGCUGCAGGUGCGAGACCAGCGCCCGCGCCUUGAGCGGCGAGCCCAGGCCGUUGACAUUCACUGUCAGCAGCCGAAGGUUCGCCGCUCCCACUGAUGGCCGCAUUACGAGCCCCCGCCGGCCACGGCAGCGCUGUGGCGGUUGCGGUUGGUGUUGCUGCUGUGGCGUUUGUGGCGGCGGCCGCCACCCUGGCUGGGGGGCGCGCCGCCGCUGCUGGUGCUCAUGCUAGCGGCGCCUGAGCUGGCGCCGCCGGGGCGCAAUGGAGCGCUGCCCAGGCUCAUGAGGCUGGAGGUACUGCGGCUGCGGUGCUGGCGUUGCCGGCGGCUGGGCCCGAUGGCCCCGCCGGGGUCCGCCGGCGGCCCACGCUUAGCGGACCGCAGGAUGCGGGCGUCUAGGAGCACGUAGUCCAUGUAGGCCGUCUGCACCUGCUGCGCGGCGUCAUCCAGCUGCUCCGUCACGUCGGAAGGCAGGGGCGUGUCUGCAGGCUGGGCUGAGUAUAGGCGCCACCAGCCAGUGAACUCGUCGUGCAGCUGUGCCAGGACGGCGGUACGGCCGGCCGGCACGCGGCAGACGGCCCAGUCCGGUACGGUGGCGCCCUGGUCACGGAGGUAGGCGAGGAGGCGGCCACCAAGCGCAUCGCGGCCAAGCUGCGUCCACUCAUACCCCUGCACAUCUGCGCAGCGGUUCUGGUGCGUCACGAGGUCAGAGCCGAUGGCAACACACGUGUCACGAUUCAGGCAAACGGCCCCGUACUCCGCCUCACUGCCCGCACCCCCACCAGCGCGCCCAGCCGUGUCGGCCGAAACCCCAGCCGGCGCGCCCAGGCCCCUUCCCCUGUCCUUACCACCACCCGCCGGUUGUGACGUCUGCAGUGGCGGCCCCGCCUGGGGCGGCGCCUGGGGCACUGCCCGCCCCGCUCCUCCACCCUGGCGCCCCGACCCGCUGCCCCCACCAGCCUGCUGUCCCCCGGCCGGCCGCCCAGUGGGCACGUGCGGCGGCGAGCUUUUUUUUUUUGAGGAAUCAUCCUUACAAGGUUGAACAGGGGCAGACGCGCUGCCCCCCUGCUGCCCAAGCGUGAUCGCUCGAAGGGUCAAAGCCCGUGUGGCUUUUUGGGCAUAUAAGGGCAGGAGGGAGCCAACCCCAAGGCCUGACAUGUCCGCAGGGGCAAGUGUGGCACGUGUCGGGAACCCAGGGGUGAGGCGGUAACACUUCUUUGCCAGCCGCGCAAUCAUGGCGUCAAGGGUGCGGAUGUCAUUCUCCGUGUACGGCAUAACCGCAAAGCUGUAUGCUGCCAUAGACUGUAUGUAGGAUUUUAUAAUUCGCAGGCAUUGUUCUGGUGACGCGAGAGACGUUUGCAGGUUGGCACUUUUUUCUUUGAUGGCAUCACAUAGGUAAGCAAACUGGGGUCCCCAGUGCAAGUUCAUGGUUAUCUGUACUCCCAGGUAUUUGAAGGGUUCGGUUGCGGGGAGGUAAGGCACAGGUUUGUCGCCAAUGUGGAUUUUGUUCUCGAGCAUUGAUUUGAGGGUACGGUUGCAGGUGGGACCGUUCAGGCCUUUGUCCUGCUGGGCUCUUCGGUGCAGGAUUCCCGUGACUCGGCAUUUGGCGUGGUUCACCUGGAGGCCCGCCCAUGCCGAGUAGCGGUGAAUUUUGAGAUACGGGGCGUGUUUUGCGCGGGGAGGCGAACCAACCGAGCUGCACAAGCGGUGUUGAGCAACACCGGUUAUAAAUUUGCAACCACACAUAGAACACGCACUCACACAGACGCACACACGGCACGCACGCACACGCUCACUGUCCGGGGGAGGGCAAUAUCAAAAAGGGGGGAUUGCCAGAUGGCCGGAAACUUGGCAUCUCUGCACCCAAGCUUACCGACCACCAGCCAGCAGCAACCGGGAUGCUGCUUCACUUGGUCUGCCCGGUUUGGCUUCUCGCCACCACACACCGGGCAGAAACCACCCCCCGGACCAGCAACCAACCUGAAUCAACACAGCACUUGCACCCCAACAAAGAGGAAAGGCCCCCAUGUCGUCAGCCAAAGCAACAAACGCUGAAAGAAAGGAGAGGGGGUGGGCGGGCGGGCAACAAAAGAGAGCACCAGCAAGCGCACGCGGCCUCCUAACCAGGAACUCGAUAGCUUUCCGAAGCACGGCGGCAUAAGUUGCUCGCUCAUCAGCUACCGUACGCAAACGCAACUUAAUAAAACAAACCCCACAGAAAGACAGCAUUUGAGACCUCGAUGUGAUGGUGAAUGCGGCCUUCAGAGCGACACACGAAACCCCGGGCCCUGCACUUCUUACCCCCCUGCAACUGAACCACCUCCCGCUCAAACACUGCUCCCUACUUCAAAACUUGUUUUAAGCUCCGGUCAGUCGGCAAGCUCCUGGAGCCUUCGCUUAAAACAGCCCUUUGAGAUACGGGGCGUGUUUUGCGCGGGGAGGCGAACCAACCGAGCUGCACAAGCGGUGUUGAGCAACACCGGUUAUAAAUUUGCAACCACACAUAGAACACGCACUCACACAGACGCACACACGGCACGCACGCACACGCUCACUGUCCGGGGGAGGGCAAUAUCAAAAAGGGGGGAUUGCCAGAUGGCCGGAAACUUGGCAUCUCUGCACCCAAGCUUACCGACCACCAGCCAGCAGCAACCGGGAUGCUGCUUCACUUGGUCUGCCCGGUUUGGCUUCUCGCCACCACACACCGGGCAGAAACCACCCCCCUCACCAGUUCCCUCUCAUUCACCCCAAAAGCAAUUGCACUGCGCACAUCAUGCGUUUGGUUUGUGCGACACCGCUUCUGUGGAACACGAACACACCCGGACACUAGCACACAGACGCUCCCCCGGCAGACCGGAAAAACCAUGGCGGGGAGCAUACGCCCGUCCGCCAUGCCGUCUGCCGGCCUGACCCCCCACACCAGUUCCUGCGUACUGCAUUGCUGCUUCUGCAUGGCUGCUCCGGCGCCGCCGCUCCUGUGGGAUGCCCCUUCCCGAACCGCUGCGGCAGUGAGCACCGCCGCAGCCGCAGCCAUCCGUUCGGCCUUCCCCGAUGUCUUCCGCGCCGCAGCUGCGGCAGUGCACCGCCGCAGCUAUGCACUGCCUCGGCUCCUCGCAUAUCCCUGUACCCUCUCCCCAUGCCCCCAAAACCAAAGCUGCGGCAGUGAGCACCGCCGCAGCUACGCACCGCCCCCCCGCUGCAGCAACGCAUCUCCGCCCGCGCUGAUCCCGGUACGCUGUUGGUCUGCGGCCGCAUAUUCACGUCAAGCUAUCCGUCAUUCGUCGGCAGUUGGUCACCCGGAUGCUAAGCCGGGGGUGUUCGUCACCCAGACGACUUCCUGCUGGGGGAGUUUGUCGCCCAGACUCCUCCUGGGGGUCCAGUCACCCUGGGCGGGGGAGUUCGUCACCCAGACUCCUCCUGGGAGAGUUCGUCACCCAGACUCCUCCUGGGAGAGUUCGUCACCCAGACUCCUCCUGGGAGAGUUCGUCACCCAGACUCCUCCUGGGCCUGCCGCGGCCGCAGACUACAUGCUCUGUCGACGCGGUUUCGCCCGCUGCGGCUCGCGCUGCUGACCUCUCCGUGCCGGAUCUCUCUCAAACGAUAGUGCUCUCGCAUUUUCUGGCUGCUACUCGCGCCUGCUGCUGCGCGCGCCUGCUUUGAUCCCCAGCUCGCCCAUGACCUGCAUUCAAACGCCAAAGGGCCUCGCCAGCGGUGCAUGCCUCACAUCUUACCAGUCAACAAAAGAGAGCGCCAGCAAGCGCACGCGGCCUCCUAACCAGGAACUCGAUAGCUUUCCGAAGCACGGCGGCAUAAGUUGCUCGCUCAUCAGCUACCGUACGCAAACGCAACUUAAUAAAACAAACCCCACAGAAAGACAGCAUUUGAGACCUCGAUGUGAUGGUGAAUGCGGCCUUCAGAGCGACACACGAAACCCCGGGCCCUGCACUUCUUACCCCCCUGCAACUGAACCACCUCCCGCUCAAACACUGCUCCCUACUUCAAAACUUGUUUUAAGCUCCGGUCAGUCGGCAAGCUCCUGGAGCCUUCGCUUAAAACAGCCCUUUGUCGCAUUGAAUGCGUAGGUCGCUCAAGGUGUUUGUAAGCACCGCCAGGUCAUCGGCGUCCCUCAAAAAAAAAAAAGGCGGCUGAGGAGCAGUGGUACCUGUUGUUGAGGUGGUUUGGUAAGCAGCCGUAGGAGUAGCCGCGGCCUCCUACGUGGAGCCACCGUAUAAGCGGUUCGAUAAACAUCAGAAAGAGUACAGGGGAGAGUGUGUCGCCCUGGACUGUGCCUCGUUCAAUGUGUACCGGGGAGGUAAGGCCGUGUUCAGUGCGUAUGUAACUACGGGCAUUUACGUAAAGGUUUUGUACGACGCGUAUCAAGUCAUGGGGCAUCCCCAGGUCCCACAUAAUUUCCAGUAGGCGGUCAUGUGAUAUGGUGUUGAAGGCGCUGGAGAAGUCUGCGUACAUAACAUAGAUAUCCUGGUUAGUCAGGCCGGCGUCUUCUAGGGCGUGAACGAGGUUUAAGGUCUGGCGUUCCGUGUUACGGUAGCAUAGGAAGCCUUCCUGAGUUUCACUGAACAGGUCCAGGUCGUGUGAUAUGUCAGAGAUGGCCACCGUGAUGAGACUAGUCCAGAGCUUAUACGUGGUGUUGGCCAGGGCAAUAGGGCGGUAGUUCUUAAGCAGAAGGGGGUCUCCAGGUUUGGGGAGCAGGACAGUCUCGCUGGCAGUCCACGAGGCAGGUGUGUGGGCCCUGACCCACAUUAGGAUAAGUAGGUUGUGGAGUGCCGUGCGCAAGGGUGUCGGUAGGGCGCGUAGUAGCUCGUUUGGAAUGCCGUCAGGUCCCGGGGAUUUGUUUCUGCUUAGGUGGUCUAUGCAUGUGUCAAAAUUGGCGCUGUCGGAGAUGCUUGGCAGCAGUGCGUGGGUAGUCGGGCUGCAUGUACUGUGCAGUUUGAAAGUGUCUGGUGCGGUUCUGUUGCUGGGGUCAAAAGGGUACCUGGUGUUCGGGUGUCUGUCUUCGGGUUUAUAGUUGCCAGUGCGCGGUCCAGUGAUGGUGGCCCUUUGGUCCUGGAAAUAUGUGUGGAUAGCCUCCAAGAUGGAUGCUUUGUCCGUACAGUGUGCUUUGGUGUAGGGGUGUAGGACAGCGGGGAUACCGCGGGCCUGUUCUUGGUUGGAGAAGAUGUCUUUGUGUGCUUGUUUAGCUCUUGUGGCUAGUUUGUGUUGGAAGCGGGCUCUGGAUUUUUGUACCUCUGAUUGUGUUAGCUUUUUGAGGGUUUGGCGUAGUGUGCUUCAAAAAAAAAAAAAAAAAAAAAAAAAACACGCUUGAUUGCAGCGGAUCUGCAGGCCGCCGCAGAGGGGUCCGGUGACGGCGCCCUAAGUGAUGCCGAGCUGAUGGCAGCGCUGGCUGGCUCCGCCAAUGGUAAAGCGCCUGGGUCGGACGGGGUCCCGUACGAGGUGUACAAGGUUUUCUGGGCGCUGCUGGGUCCGCGCUUGUGUGCUGCUGCUGCCGCUGCCUUUGCUGCUGCUGCAGACGCCCACGAUGGUGGUGAAAUGGCGGCGGCGCUGCCUGCUUCCUGGCGGGAGGGCAUCAUUACGCUCAUCUACAAGGGCAAAAGCCUGGACCGCGCCGAGCUGGCGUCCUUUUUUUUUUUUUUUGAGGAAUCAUCCUUACAAGGUUGAACAGGGGCAGACGCGCUGCCCCCCUGCUGCCUGAAGACAGCCUGGUCCCCGAGACCAGAACCCUGACAGGGCAAGAAGAGAAGAAAAGAGAAGAAAAACAGAAAACAAACACCUCGAAAACCGCCACCAACCACCCCCAUCCAUCCCACCCCACCCCACCCCGACCCGGCAGACAGAGCAGGAGGCUGGCCCCCCCGCCCCCCGGGAGGGGUUGCACAAAAACACCGCCAGACCUAACCCAAGCACCAACCUACACCACAGCCUAACCGCAAGAACCACCACCACCGCGCGCCAGAAAAGAAAACACCAGCGCUACGCACUCGCCCCGCCCAAACCCACCCCACCCCCACAAGUCGGUUGCUUAAGCAACACCCCAGGAGAACCGGCAAAGGAGACACAAGCAGAUAACUAAACGGGCCAGAUGUGGCGCUGACUAAGCGGGCUCCAGCCCGCUGCAAGACGCGCUGUGCAGGAAGUCCCACAGCCGCCCAGGCGCUGCGACGCCAGCCAGAGCUAAAACACAUGGGCGCCAGAUAAGCUGAUGAUGAUAAACGCCACGCCAGCACCUGGAACGAACCGCCGCCCAAAAGGAAACCUAGGGGGCCUGCACAGGUGCCCCCCGACUAGCGUGGCUGUCCCACAGCCUCCGCCACGUACCCCGCAGAAGGGACGCAUCCGGGGGCGGCAUGCGAGGGUCGCCCUCCACCGCCGCCGCUGCUGCCGCUGCCGCCGUGGCAGGCCCAGUGCUAGGUCCCGCCCCUCCCGCCGCCUGCUCCUGCAGCCGCGCGGAACGCCGCGGCCCCUCACCCGACUGCUGGGACGGGGACGCAUACGACUGCAGUUCUCUCGCCGGCGUGUUCUGCUGCCCGGCUGCCGCGGAGGUGCGGUGGAGCCAGGGGUCCAGAGCCACCGGGUUAUUGUGGAAAUGCUGCGCCGCCGUGGUGGUCAGCUGCGCCGCUGCACGCUGCCACUCCGCCUCCCGCUCCGCCAGCCGCGACUGUGCCGCUGGCUGGUUCCCCGACCCCCCCGCCUGCUGAGCUGGCGCCGGGCACGGCAUGGCUGCGGGGCGGGCCGGAGCCGGAGGUGCGGCCGGGUUAGCCGCGGUGAUGGCCCGCCGCACGUCCCGCACCGUGUAGUCCGCCAAGCUGACACCCGCAAUCCGGCAGUGCUCCGGGUGCACCACCACCCCAGCCUCCGGCGCCAGGAAGUACGGCGCCCGAGGCCACGCCCCCGCCCGUUCCCCUGGUGAUGCUGCAUCGUACGCCGCCCGCUCUUCAAAGGUCCACAGGUGCCGCGGCUUGCGAUGCUGCAGCACACAGGCAGGCUGCCACGCCCCAUCCACCGCCGGGGGCAGCACGCCAGGCCCAGGCUCCAAGAGCCGCCCCGUGUAGUGGACGUAGGACACAGCCCCCGCAGCGUUAGCCACCCACAGCUGGUCCAGGCUAACCCGCCACUGUGGCGGCGCCGCUGGCGGCUGAGUGGCUGGCUGCGGCGGAUGCUGCUCCACGCCCGCGCUCCGCACGUGGCCGACCGCGGCCGCCAGCCGGGCAGGCAGCCCCGCUGGCGCCGGCGCGUCGCUGUACACCCACGCCCACGUGGUGGCGGAGUCCGGGCGCACAUGGGUAAGCAGCGCCCGGGUGAGCGUCUUCCAGGGUUGCCGGCCUGGCUGGGCAAGGAGGGCGAAAGUCUUAGCUUGCAGGGCAGACAGGAACGCAGGCAGGUUGACGUGGUUGACACCCCCAUCCUUGUACGGCAGACAGGCCGUUUCCCGCUUUGGCAGCAGGAGCGGGUUCCCGUGCGACACCAGGCUGGCGUCCUCAGCGUGCAUGGAGCGCGCAGCAAAGUGGUCCACCAGGUCGGUGAGGUCCUUCAGCUGCGCAGGCGACGGGUUGAGGAAGCUGAAGUGGUAGGCCAGCUUCGCCGCCAGCACCUGCUUCGCAAUGUGCACACGGCCAACGAGGGUCAGAGACAGGGCAGCCCACAGACGCGCCACAAACGCCAUGCCGCGAGCCCGCCGGGUGUACAAGUCAGCUGCAGCCGCAUCAGAGUCCCACGACAGGGGCACACCCAGGUGCGUCACGGCGCCAGUGGUAAACGGCACCCCCGUGUGUGGGCAAGGGCCCGUCAGGUGCGCAAACCUGCCAAGGCCCAUGGCCUUGCUCUUGUCCGGAUGGACACGGGCGUUGGACGCGCGGCAGAACAGCUGUACUGCCGCCAUCAGGACCGGCCCGUCCACCGCCGGGUCGCGCGCCGUGAGGGUCGUGUCGUCAGCGUGGUGGGCAGCAGGUGGCGCCUGCUCGCCGCUGGGUAACAGGGGCGUGCGCAGUGCCCCUUGCUCCACCUGCCGCCGCAGAAAGGACGUCAGUGGCUGCAUCUGGAUGACCCACAGGGGUGGUGAGGCGGUGCUGCCCUGCGGCAAGCCGUUCAGCACUGGGAAGGCGUCAGAGAGCAUCCCGUUCACACACACGCGGGCAGAGCCGUUGGCAGUGAGCAGGCGGAUCCAGCGCAGCAUGCGCGGCCCAANNNNNNNNNNNNNNNNNNNNNNNNNNNNNNNNNNNNNNNNNNNNNNNNNNNNNNNNNNNNNNNNNNNNNNNNNNNNNNNNNNNNNNNNNNNNNNNNNNNNUGUCGUCAGCGUGGUGGGCAGCAGGUGGCGCCUGCUCGCCGCUGGGUAACAGGGGCGUGCGCAGUGCCCCUUGCUCCACCUGCCGCCGCAGAAAGGACGUCAGUGGCUGCAUCUGGAUGACCCACAGGGGUGGUGAGGCGGUGCUGCCCUGCGGCAAGCCGUUCAGCACUGGGAAGGCGUCAGAGAGCAUCCCGUUCACACACACGCGGGCAGAGCCGUUGGCAGUGAGCAGGCGGAUCCAGCGCAGCAUGCGCGGCCCAAACCCAAGUCCCUCCGCGGACGCAUACAGCCACUGCCGGUGCACCCGGUCAUACGCCUUUUCAAUGUCCAAGAAGUACAGCGCACCACCCUGCCGUGGCGCGCCGUCCGCGCCCACGUCCAGGCGCAUCCAUUCGAUCAGGCCUUGGAGGUACAGCGCGUUGUCUCCAAUCCAGCGGCCGGUGAUGAACGCGGUCUGCAGCUCAUCCACAACUGCAUCCAGGGCGGGCUGCAGGCGGGCGCUGACGGCCUUGGACACCAUCUUGAAGUCGCAGUUGAGCAGCGUGAUGGGCCGGUAGGACGCCAGCUCGGCGCGGUCCAGGCUUUUGCCCUUGUAGAUGAGCGUAAUGAUGCCCUCCCGCCAGGAGGCAGGCAGCGCCGCCGCCAUUUCGCCGCCAUCGUGGGCGUCUGCAGCGGCAGCAAAGGCAGCGGCAGCAGCAGCACACAAGCGCGGGCCCAGCAGCGCCCAGAAGACCUUGUACACCUCGUACGGAACCCCGUCCGACCCAGGUGCUUUACCAUUGGCGGAGCCAGCCAGCGCUGCCAUCAGCUCGGCAUCACUGAGGGCGCCGUCCCCGGACCCCUCUGCGGCGGUGUGCAGAUCCGCCGGAACCUUGCGGUCAAUGGCCGCCAGAAGCUGUUGCUGCGACGCCGUACAGACCGGCUGCACACGGAACAGGCCGGUGGGGCUGGUGCUGCUGUACAUGGCUGCGGCGGCUGCGAAGACAGUGUUGCGCGUGCCCGGCCCCGUGAGCGCCACAGGCGCCGGUUGCCCCGGCACCUUCAAGUGCGUGAUGGGCUCCUGCGCGCCGGCUGCUGGCUCGUCAGCCUGCCGAUGGAACCAGCGAGUGCCCCGCUCCCCAUGCUCCUCCAUCAGUGCAGCGCGGGCAUUGUGGCUGGCCGCUGCGGCAGCUGCCCGCUCCUCCCGCACCGCCAAGUUGGCCAUGGCCGCAGCCUGACGCUGCGUGGCGCUGGCACCCGGCCGGUCGGCCAGGGCAGCGGCCGUGUCUGCGGCCAGCACCACGCCAUGCAGCCCAUCCCGGGUCUGGCGUGCAUGCCGACGGUGGAUGCUGGUGGCGGCCUCCCGCAAGAAGAACUUGUCCGCCUCCCAUUGCGUGCAAGCGCCGUCACCUGUACUGGCCACGGGAUUGGCGGCAACGUGCGCCUCCAAGCGCUGCUCGAGCUCCAGACGCAGCGAGGGGUGAAACAGCAGGUAUUUUUUUUUUGAGGAAUCAUCCUUACAAGGUUGAACAGGGGCAGACGCACUGCCCCCCUGCUGCCUGAAAGCAGCCUGGUCCCCGAGACCAGAACCCUGAAAGGGCAAGAAGAGAAGAAAAGAGAAGAAAACAGAAAACAAACACCUCGAAAACCGCCAACAACCACCCCCACCCAUCCCACCCCACCCCACCCCGACCCGGCAGACAGAGCAGGAGGCUGGCCCCCCCGCCCCCCGGGAGGGGUUGCACAAAAACACCGCCAGACCAAACCCAAGCACCAACCUACACCACAGCCUAACCGCAAGAACCACCACCACCGCGCGCCAGAAAAAGAAACACCAGCGCUACGCACUCGCCCCGCCCAAACCCACCCCACCACCACAAGUCGGUUGCUUAAGCAACACCCCAGGAGAACCGGCAGAGGAGACACAAGCAGAAAACUAAACGGGCCAGAUGUGGCGCUGACUAAGCGGGCUCCAGCCCGCUGCAAGAUGCGCUGUUCAGGAAGGCCCACAGCCGCCCAGGCGCUGCGACGCCAGCCAGAGCUAAAACACAUGGGCGCCAGAUAAGCUGAUGACGAUAAUACGCCACGCCAGCGCCUGGAAAGAAACGCCGCCCAAAAGGAAACCUAGGGGGCCUGCACAGGUGAUGCAAGCGUCAGCCGCAAGUUCAACUUCGGUGACCCACCCUGAACCUCCUCCACUUCACAAAGCGCGCCACCCGCCGUCCAGAUGGCAACAAAGUGCUCCAGCUUAGCCGCCUUGAGCUGUGCGGUGAGAAGCUGAGUGGGCAGAGCCGACAGGGUUUGAGGGGUUAGCGUGGCGGCAGUGAAACGCAGCUGCAUCACCCUGCGCAGCUCGCUGACAACCUCCCGAACCACAUGCUCCGACGUCUGCUUAGCAGGCUCGCGGGACCAGUACGCACACCAGACGGCGUACAAGAAGGUGGCCCGCAAAGUGCUCCACAGCAGCGCGCCCGCCCCCCGCGGGCCUGAGGCCCACAUACCCAUGCGGUCCCCCAGCAUGAAGCCCGCGUCCGUCACUGGCGGCGCCGCUGCCUGGGGCGCAACGCAGGCCCACAGCUGCUGCAGCCACGUCCUCGCCUGCGCAUAAGCUGGACACUCCAGGAAGAUGUGCGUCAGGCUGGCCCACGCCCGCGGGCCAGGUGGCCCGCAGGCGGGGUGAGGACAGUGCGCCCCCAACCCCCCGCACCCCGUGGUCACCCGUGACCGAAUGCCCUUGCCCGCCCUGUACAGCCCGCAAGGCAGGUAAGCAUGUUGCAGCCGGUACACCAGCACCUUUGCCCCCCGACUAGCGUGGCUGUCCCACAGCCUCCGCCACGUACCCCACAGAAGGGACGCAUCCGGGGGCGGCAUGCGAGGGUCGCCCUCCACCGCCGCCGCUGCUGCCGCCGCCGCCGUGGCAGGCCCCGUGCUAGGCCCCGCCCCGCCCGCCGCCUGCUCCUGCAGCCGCGCGGAACGCCGUGGCCCCUCACCCGACUGCUGGGACGGGGACGCAUACGACUGCAGUUCUCUCGCCGGCGUGUUCUGCUGCCCGGCUGCCGCGGAGGUGCGGUGGAGCCAGGGGUCCAGAGCCACCGGGUUAUUGUGGAAGUGCUGCGCCGCCGUGGUGGUCAGCUGCGCCGCUGCACGCUGCCACUCCGCCUCCCGCUCCGCCAGCCGCGACUGUGCCGCCGGCUGGGUCCCCGAACCCCCCGCCUGCUGUGCUGGCGCCGGGCACGGCAUGGCUGCGGGGCGGGCCGGAGCCAGAGGGGCGGCCGGGUUGGCCGCGGUGAUGGCCCGCCGCACGUCCCGCACCGUGUAGUCCGCCAAGCUGACACCCGCAAUCCGGCAGUGCUCCGGGUGCACCACCACCCCAGCCUCCGGCGCCAGGAAGUACGGCGCCCGAGGCCACGCCCCUGCCCGUUCCCCUGGUGAUGCUGCAUCGUACGCCGCCCGCUCUUCAAAGGUCCACAGGUGCCGCGGCUUGCGGUGCUGCAGCACACAGGCAGGCUGCCACGCCCCAUCCACUGCCGGGGGCAGCACGCCAGGCCCAGGCUCCAAGAGCCGCCCCGUGUAGUGGACGUAGGACACAGCCCCCGCAGCGUUAGCCACCCACAGCUGGUCCAGGCUAACCCGCCACUGUGGCGGCGCCGCUGGCGGCUGAGUGGCUGGCUGCGGCGGACGCUGUUCCACGCCCGCGCUCCGCACGUGGCCGACCGCGGCCGCCAGCCGGGCAGGCAGCCCCGCUGGCGCCGGCGCGUCGCUGUACACCCACGCCCACGUGGUGGCAGAGUCCGGGCGCACGUGAGUAAGCAGCGCCCGGGUGAGCGUCUUCCAGGGUUGCCGGCCUGGCUGGGCAAGCAGGGCGAAAGUCUUAGCUUGCAGGGCAGACAGGAACGCAGGCAGGUCGACAUGGUUGAUACCCCCAUCCUUGUACGGCAGACAGGCCGUUUCCCGCUUUGGCAGCAGGAGCGGGUUCCCGUGCGACACCAGGCUGGCAUCCUCAGCGUGCACGGAGCGCGCAGCAAAGUGGUCCACCAGGUCGGUGAGUUCCUUCAGCUGCGCAGGCGAUGGGUUGAGGAAGCUGAAGUGGUAGGCCAGCUUCGCCGCCAGCACCUGCUUCGCAAUGUGCACACGGCCAACCAGGGUCAGAGACAGGGCAGCCCACAGACGCGCCACAAACGCCAUGCCGCGAGCCCGCCGGGUCAGCUGCAGCCGCAUCAGAGUCCCACGACAGAGGCACACCCAGGUGCGUCACGGCGCCAGUGGUAAACGGCACCCCCGUGUGUGGGCAAGGGCCCGUCAGGUGCGCAAACCUGCCAAGGCCCAUGGCCUUGCUCUUGUCCGGAUGGACACGGGCGUUGGACGCGCGGCAGAACAGCUGUACUGCCGCCAUCAGGACCGGCCCGUCCACCGCCGGGUCGCGCGCCGUGAGGGUCGUGUCGUCAGCGUGGUGGGCAGCAGGUGGCGCCUGCUCGCCGCUGGGUAACAGGGGCGUGCGCAGUGCCCCUUGCUCCACCUGCCGCCGCAGAAAGGACGUCAGUGGCUGCAUCUGGAUGACCCACAGGGGUGGUGAGGCGGUGCUGCCCUGCGGCAAGCCGUUCAGCACUGGGAAGGCGUCAGAGAGCAUCCCGUUCACACACACGCGGGCAGAGCCGUUGGCAGUGAGCAGGCGGAUCCAGCGCAGCAUGCGCGGCCCAAACCCCAGUCCCUCUGCGGACGCAUACAGCCACUGCCGGUGCACCCGGUCAUACGCCUUUUCAAUGUCCAAGAAGUACAGCGCACCACCCUGCCGUGGCGUGCCGUCCGCGCCCACGUCCAGGCGCAUCCAUUCGAUCAGGCCUUGGAGGUACAGCGCGUUGUCUCCAAUCCAGCGGCCGGUGAUGAACGCGGUCUGCAGCUCAUCCACAACUGCAUCCAGGGCGGGCUGCAGGCGGGCGCUGACGGCCUUGGACACCAUCUUGAAGUCGCAGUUGAGCAGCGUGAUGGGCCGGUAGGACGCCAGCUCGGCGCGGUCCAGGCUUUUGCCCUUGUAGAUGAGCGUAAUGAUGCCCUCCCGCCAGGAGGCGGGCAGCGCCGCCGCCAUUUCACCGCCAUCGUGGGCGUCUGCAGCGGCAGCAAAGGCAGCGGCAGCAGCAGCACACAAGCGCGGACCCAGCAGCGCCCAGAAGACCUUGUACACCUCGUACGGGACCCCGUCCGACCCAGGCGCUUUACCAUUGGCGGAGCCAGCCAGCGCUGCCAUCAGCUCGGCAUCACUUAGGGCGCCGUCACCGGACCCCUCUGCGGUGGCCUGCAGAUCCGCUGGAACCUUGCGGUCAAUGGCCGCCAGGAGCUGUUGCUGCGACGCCGUACAGACCGGCUGCACGCGGAACAGGCCGGUGGGGCUGGUGCUGCUGUACAUGGCUGCGGCGGCUGCGGAGACAGUGUUGCGCGUGCCCGGCCCCGUGAGCGCCACAGGCGCCGGUUGCCCCGGCACCUUCAAGUGUGUGAUGGGCUCCUGCGCGCCGGCUGCUGGCUCGUCCGCCUGCCGAUGGAACCAGCGAGUUCCCCGCUCCCCAUGCUCCUCCAUCAGUGCAGCGCGGGCAUUGUGGCUGGCCGCUGCGGCAGCUGCCCGCUCCUCCCGCACCGCCAAGUUGGCCAUGGCCGCAGCCUGACGCUGCGCGGCGCUGGCACCCGGACGGUCGGCCAGGGCAGCGGCCGCGUCUGCGGCCAGCACCACGCCAUGCAGCCCAUCCCGGGUCUGGCGUGCAUGCCGACGGUGGAUGCUGGUGGCGGCCUCCCGCAAGAAGAACUUGUCCGCCUCCCAUUGCGUGCAAGCGCCGUCACCUGUACUGGCCACGGGAUUUGCGGCAACGUGCGCCACCAAGCGCUGCUCGAGCUCCAAACGCAGCGAGGGGUGAAACAGCAGGUACGUGGGGAAGCGCCACUGCUCCCGGUGCGCAUGUGGCAGGUCGGGCAAGGACAGGGUGAGCAGCACACCGUUGUGGUCCCCAGGCGCCCCAUACGUGCGAGCGACAUCCACCACCCACGGCGCCGCGGUGGCACUGACAUACCACCGAUCCAGGCGUGCGGGAGUGGCCGGUUUGGGUGUGGCCGGAUGCGUGUAGCCCUUGGCGCCGCCACGCUUGCUCGCCCAAGGGUCCACCAGACUGAACUGGGCGAGGAGGCUGGCAAGUUGCGGGGCACCUGCAGCACGUGACGGGCUAGGGGCCGCCUCCUGACUGGCAUCGGUGACACAGUUCCAGUCCCCACCGACAACAAGCACCCUGUCCGUGGCCAGGUGGGGAUGCAGCCCGGCAAAGAAUGCAGGCUUGUCCGCCACGGCCGUGGGCGCAUACACACACACGAAGCGCAGGCGCAGGUGACCCACGUCCCAAUCCCAACAUACCACACGGCCCGCCGCAUCCGUUGACGGCGGCUGCAGUACGCGGCCUGGAAGGGACAGCCGACUCCGCGCCAGGAUAGCCGCCCCACAGGAGUGGGGCGACGCUGCCGGGCUGGCAGCGAGGCAGUGGCGCCACGGAAGGCACGCCCCCUGCGCGGCACGAAGGCAAGACUCCAGCGCCGUCGUGUCAGUAGCGUGGGUCUCCUGCACCAUCGCCACAUCCGCCCCAACUUGCUGCAGGUGCGAGACCAGCGCCCGCGCCUUGGGCGGCGAGCCCAGGCCGUUGACAUUCACUGUCAGCAGCCGAAGGUUCGCCGCGCGCACUGGUGGCCGCAUUAUGAGCCCCCGCCGGCCACGGCAGCGCCGUGGCAGUUGCGGUUGCUGUUGCUGCUGUGGCGUGUGCCGCGGCGGCCGCCACCCUGGCUGGGGGGCGCGCCGCCGCAGCUGGUGCUCAUGCUAGCGGCGCCUGAGCUGGCGCCGCCGGGGCGCAAUGGAGGGCUGCCCAGGCUCAUGAGGCUGGAAGUACUGCGGCUGCGGUGUUGGCGUUGCCGGCGGCUGGGCCCGCCGGCACCGCCGGGGUCCUCCUGUCCACGCUAAGCGGACCGCAGGGUGCGGGCGUCUAGGAGCACGUAGUCCAUGUAGGCCGUCUGCACCUGCUGCGCGGCGUCAUCCAGCUGCUCCGUCACGUCGGAAGGCAGGGGCGUGCCUGCAGGCUGGGCAGAGUACAGGCGCCACCAGCCAGUGAACUCGUCGCGCAGCUGUGCCAGGACGGCGGUACGGCCUGCCGGCACACGGCAGACAGCCCAGUCCGGUACGGUGGCGCCCUGGUCACGGAGGUAGCCGAGGAGGCGGCCACCAAGCGCGUCGCGGCCAAGCUGCGCCCACUCAUACCCCUGCACAUCUGCGCAGCGGUUCUGGUAAGUCACGAGGUCAGAGCCGAUGGCAACACACGUGUCACGAUUCAGGCAGACGGCCCCGUACUCCGCCUCACUGCCCGCACCCCCACCAGCGCGCCCAGCCGUGUCGGCCGAAACCCCAGCCGGCACGCCCAGGCCCCUGCCCCUGCCCUUACCACCACCCGCCGGUUGUGACGUCUGCGGUGGCGGCCCCGCCUGGGGCGGUGGCUGGGGCACUGCCCGCCCCGCUCCUCCACCCUGGCGCCCCGACCCGCUGCCCCCACCAGCGUGCUGUCCCCCCGCCGGCCGCCCAGUGGGCACGUGCGGCGGCGAGCUAGCACCGUCCUGCGGGGGAGGCAGCCCGCCGCCCAAGCGCCCUGCCCUCUGCUGCGGGAGCUGGGCGAGGCCACAGCGCCCUUUGGAGCGGGGCUGUUGCUGCGGCGGCGGCUGCGGUGUGUGCGCGGCUGGUUGCACCCGUCGCCCACGCCCGGACGCCACCGUGGCAGCGCCAUCACCCGCCCCGUCCUGUCCCCCCAGCGUGGCCAGGACCCCAAACCGGGAGCCGGUCCGGGGCAUAAGCGACUGCACCUGGCGCUGCUGCUCCUGCUGCUGCUGUUGCUCUACCCGCCGUUGCUGCUGGAGAGUGAGUUCCGCCAAAUCGGCCAAGUACUGCCGCAUCACAACUUGCAGCUUCUGCUCCUGCCUAGCAGCUGCCCGCUGAUCAAAGGGCGGCUGUGGCGCGGGAGCCCCACUGGGCGGCUGCUGCGCGCCAGCCGGCCCAGCAUCGGCAGUGCGACGCAUGGCCGCCGGCGGCCCCCCCACGCCUGCCGACGGCUGCCCCCCGCUAAGCCCUCCCGCUGCCCCCCGCUGCUGUGAAGAGGGCUGCUGCUGCCGCUCGGCCCUCAGGGGAGCCGCAGCAGCACGGGUGCUUCCCCCCGCCACCAGAGCUGGCCGCGAGGGCGAGGCCCCGCUGUGUGGCCUGCUGGCGCCACCAGCGGCAGCCGCUGCGUCACCCAAACCCGCCGCCUCCUGCAUCUGCACGUCCCCCAUGUGGUCAACUAUGUCAACACGUUGCCCACGCCGUGACGCCGCCGUGCCAGCGCCACCGCCCGCCCCGUCCUGCCCCCCCCGCGUGGCCAGGACCCUAACCUGGGAGCCGGUCCGGGGCCUGGGCGACUGCCCCUGGCGCUGCAGCUCCUGCUGCUGCUGUUGCUGUAACCGCCGUUGCUGCUGGAGAGUGAGUUCCGCCAAAUCGGCCAAGUACUGCUGCAUCACAGCGGUCUGUUCCUGGUCCUGCCCGGCGGCUGCCCGCUGAUCCAAGGGCGGCCGUGGCGCGGGAGCGCCACUGUGCUGCUGCUGCGCGUCAGCCGGCCCAGCACCGGCAGGGCAGGUAUGUGGGGAAGCGCCACUGCUCCCGGUGCGCAUGUGGCAGGUCGGGCAAGGACAGGGUGAGCAGCACACCGUUGUGGUCCCCAGGCGCCCCAUACGUGCGAGCGACAUCCACCACCCACGGCGCCGCGGUGGCACUGACAUACCACCGAUCCAGGCGUGCGGGAGUGGCCGGCUUGGGCGUGGCUGGAUGCGUGUAGCCCUUGGCGCCGCCACGCUUGCUCGCCCAAGGGUCCACCAGACUGAACUGGGCGAGGAGGCUGGCAAGUUGCGGGGCACCUGCAGCACGUGACGGGCUAGGGGCCGCCUCCUGACUGGCAUCGGUGACACAGUUCCAGUCCCCACCGACAACAAGCACCCUGUCCGUGGCCAGGUGGGGAUGCAGCCCGGCAAAGAAAGCAGGCUUGUCCGCCACGGCCGUGGGCGCAUACACACACAUGAAGCGCAGGCGCAAGUGACCCACGUCCCAAUCCCAACAUACCACACGGCCCGCCGCAUCCGUUGACGGCGGCUGCAGUACGCAGCCGGGAAGGGACAGCCGACUCCGCGCCAGGAUAGCCGCCCCACAGGAAUGGGGCGACGCUGCCGGGCUGGCAGCGAGGCAGUGGCGCCACGGAAGGCACGCCCCCUGCGCGGCACGAAGGCAAGACUCCAGCGCCGUCGUGUCAGUAGCGUGGGUCUCCUGCACCAUCGCCACAUCCGCCCCAACUUGCUGCAGGUGCGAGACCAGCGCCCGCGCCUUGAGCGGCGAGCCCAGGCCGUUGACAUUCACUGUCAGCAGCCGAAGGUUCGCCGCUCCCACUGGUGGCCGCAUUACGAGCCCCCGGCAGCGCCGUGGCGGUUGCGGUUGCUGUUGCUGCUGUGGCGUUUGCGGCGGGGGGCGCCACCCUGGCUGGGGGGCGCGCCGCCGCUGUCCUACCGGCCUAUCACGCUGCUCAACUGCGACUUCAAGAUGGUGUCCAAGGCCGUCAGCGCCCGCCUGCAGCCCGCCCUGGAUGCAGUUGUGGAUGAGCUGCAGACCGCGUUCAUCACCGGCCGCUGGAUUGGUGACAACGCGCUGUACCUCCAAGGCCUGAUCGAAUGGAUGCGCCUGGACGUGGGCGCGGACGGCACGCCACGGCAGGGUGGUGCGCUGUACUUCUUGGACAUUGAAAAGGCGUAUGACCGGGUGCACCGGCAGUGGCUGUAUGCGUCCGCGGAGGGACUUGGGUUUGGGCCGCGCAUGCUGCGCUGGAUCCGCCUGCUCACUGCCAACGGCUCUGCCCGCGUGUGUGUGAAUGGGAUGCUCUCUGACGCCUUCCCAGUGCUGAACGGCUUGCCGCAGGGCAGCACCGCCUCACCACCCCUGUGGGUCAUCCAGAUGCAGCCACUGACGUCCUUUCUGCGGCGGCAGGUGGAGCAAGGGGCACUGCGCACGCCCCUGUUACCCAGCGGCGAGCAGGCGCCACCGGCUGCCCACCACGCUGACGACACGACCCUCACGGCGCGCGACCCGGCGGUGGACGGGCCGGUCCUGAUGGCGGCAGUACAGCUGUUCUGCCGCGCGUCCAACGCCCGUGUCCAUCCGGACAAGAGCAAGGCCAUGGGCCUUGGCAGGUUUGUUGCCAUCUGGACGGCGGGUGGCGCGCUUUGUGAAGUGGAGGAGGUUCAGGGUGGGUCACCGAAGUUGAACUUGCGGCUGACGCUUGCAUCACCUGUGCAGGCCCCCUAGGUUUCCUUUUGGGCGGCGUUUCUUUCCAGGCGCUGGCGUGGCGUAUUAUCGUCAUCAGCUUAUCUGGCGCCCAUGUGUUUUAGCUCUGGCUGGCGUCGCAGCGCCUGGGCGGCUGUGGGACUUCCUGCACAGCGCGUCUUGCAGCGGGCUGGAGCCCGCUUAGUCAGCGCCACAUCUGGCCCGUUUAGUUUUCUGCUUGUGUCUCCUCUGCCGGUUCUCCUGGGGUGUUGCUUAAGCAACCGACUUGUGGUGGUGGGGUGGGUUUGGGCGGGGCGAGUGCGUAGCGCUUGUGUUUCCUUUUCUGGUGCGCGGUGGUGGUGGUUCUUGCGGUUAGGCUGUGGUGUAGGUUGGUGCUUGGGUUUGGUCUGGCGGUGUUUUUGUGCAACCCCUCCCGGGGGGCGGGGGGGCCAGCCUCCUGCUCUGUCUGCCGGGUCGGGGUGGGGUGGGGUGGGAUGGGUGGGGGUGGUUGUUGGCGGUUUUCGAGGUGUUUGCUUUCUGUUUUCUUCUCUUUUCUUCUCUUCUUGCCCUGUCAGGGUUCUGGUCUCGGGGACCAGGCUGCUUUCAGGCAGCAGGGGGGCAGCGCGUCUGCCCCUGUUCAACCUUGUAAGGAUGAUUCCUUAAAAAAAAAAAGGUUUGCGCACCUGACAGGCCCUUGCCCACACACGGGGGUGCCGUUUACCACUGGCGCCGUGACGCACCUGGGUGUGCCCCUGUCGUGGGACUCUGAGGCGGCUGCAGCUGACUUGUACACCCGGCGGGCUCGCGGCAUGGCGUUUGUGGCGCGUCUGUGGGCUGCCCUGUCUCUGACUCUUGUUGGCCGUGUGCACAUUGCUUUCUGUUUUCUUCUCUUUUCUUCUCUUCUUGCCCUGUCAGGGUUCUGGUCUCGGGGACCAGGCUGCUUUCAGGCAGCAGGGGGGCAGCGCGUCUGCCCCUGUUCAACCUUGUAAGGAUGAUUCCUCAAAAAAAAAAACAUUGCGAAGCAGGUGCUGGCGGCGAAGCUGGCCUACCACUUCAGCUUCCUCAACCCGUCGCCUGCGCAGCUGAAGGACCUCACCGACCUGGUGGACCACUUUGCUGCGCGCUCCAUGCACGCUGAGGACGCCAGCCUGGUGUCGCACGGGAACCCGCUCCUGCUGCCAAAGCAUCACCGGAUCGCUAACUCAGUUAGCAAUUUGACUCGUCCUUACGGCAGAAGGGACCCGGGUACGAAUCCGGAUAAAAGCCCAAUUAUGCAAAAGGCGAAAGAUUGGUGCGAAACUGAUUGGUGAUCCCACGAACGAUAGGUAAUUGCCCUUAGUGGCAAUUGCGGGCUUAUGCCCGCUGCAACCUAGAAAGGUCGUGGUGCAGAAGUCCGAUUUAGUGGCGAGGUCCAAGGUUCAAGACAAGGCUCAAGAUCCAAGGCUCGAGGAGGAGCGCCAUGGCUCCUCGGUUUGCACGAACUGGCAGUGCUCCACUACUAUAACGCGGCGUUUCCCUAGCUCGAUAUGCUAGGUGUGCAGGCUUGGACGUAGUGGACUUUGAAGAGCGGCCUAGGACAUGGAGGUUGUAGUUUGGAGGUUGUGACUCUUUCGUGGUGAGGCGUCAGCGUGAGGGGGGCGGGCCCUCUCGCCCUAGUCACCUUGCCCCGUUAAUCCAUGCCAGGCCCUAUGGGCCGGCGUUGUAAUUAUUAUUAUUAUUUUUGCUGCCAAAGCGGGAAACGGCAUGUCUGACGUACAAGGAUGGGGGUGUCAACCACGUCGACCUGCCUGCGUUCCUGUCUGCCCUGCAAGCUAAGACUUUCGCCCUCCUUGCCCAGCCAGGCCGGCAACCCUGGAAGAUGCUCACCCGGGCGCUGCUUACUCAUGUGCGCCCGGACUCCGCCACCACGUGGGCGUGGGUGUACAGCGACGCGCCGGCGCCCGCGGGGCUGCCUGCCCGGCUGGCGGCCGCGGUCGGCCACGUGCGGAGCGCGGGCGUGGAACAGCAUCCACUGCAGCCAGCCACUCAGCCGCCAGCGGCGCCGCCACAGUGGCGGGUUAGCCUGGACCAGCUGUGGGUGGCUAACGCUGCGGGGGCUGUGUCCUACGUCCACUACACGGGGCGGCUCUUGGAGCCUGGGCCUGGCGUGCUGCCCCCGGGGGUGGAUGGGGCGUGGCAGCCUGCCUGUGUGCUGCAGCAUCGCAAGCCGCGGCACCUGUGGACCUUUGAAGAGCGGGCGGCGUACGAUGCAGCAUCACCAGGGGACCGGGCGGGGGCGUGGCCUCGGGCGCCGUACUUCCUGGCGCCGGAGGCUGGGGUGGUGGUGCACCCGGAGCACUGCCGGAUUGCGGGUGUCAGCUUAGCAGACUACACGGUGCGGGACGUGCGGCGGGCCAUCACCGCGGCCAACCCGGCCGCACCUCCGGCUCCGGCCCGCCCCGCAGCCAUGCCGUGCCCGGCGCCAGCUCAGCAGGCGGGGGGGUCGGGGCCCCAGCCGGCGGCACAGUCGCGGCUGGCGAAGCAAGAGGCGGAGUGGCAGCGUGCAGCGGCGCAGCUGACCACCACAGCGGCGCAGCAUUUCCACAAUAACCCGGUGGCUCUGGACCCCUGGCUCCACCGCACCUCCACGGCAGCCGGGCUGCAGAACACGCCAGAGGGGGGGUCGUCUAAAUGGUUAAGACACUCAAGCCGAUUUCGUUAAGGCUUCGAGAGAUCCUGGGUUUGAAUCCCGGUCACCCCACCAGGAAGGGCCCUGGUUUACCAAAACCCAUCCACACCUUGGUGGUGUGUAGACCCCCCCUGUGGUGCAGGGAGUCUCUGGGGUACAAGGCUGGAGCUCUGGGCCUGCAACUGGAGAGCUUUCAAGUUCAAGAUCCAAGAUUCAAGUGGAGCUCUGGGCCUGUCAACUGGAGAGCUCUAGAUGAUCUGUGUGGUCAUGGCAGUGGCUGUAGUUGUCACCUAGCUGUUGAGAACUCCAGUAGGUGUGUGGUGUCACCUAGCUGUUGACGUCUCCAGUAGGUGUGUGGUGGAACAAACACUUCUCUUCUCUUCUCUGAUCUCUGGCCCUAUCGAGGUUCUGUGAUAUGAUCCAGGCUGCCUUGGCAGUAGGGUGGUAGUGCGUCUACCACCGCAACCUUGUAAGGAUGACUUUAAAAAAAAAAAAAACGCCGGCGAGAGAACUGCAGUCAUAUGCGUCCCCGUCCCAGCAGUCGGGUGAGGGGCCGCGGCGGUCCGCGCGGCUGCAGGAGCAGGCGGCGGGAGGGGCGGGACCUAGCACUGGGCCUGCCACGGCGGCGGCGGCAGCAGCGGCGGCGGUGGAGGGCGACCCUCGCAUGCCGCCCCCGGAUGCGUCCCUUCUGCGGGGUACGUGGCGGAGGCUGUGGGACAGCCACGCCAGUCGGGGGGCAAAGGUGCUGGUGUACCGGCUGCAACAUGCUUACCUGCCUUGCGGGCUGUACAGGGCGGGCAAGGGCAUUCGGCCACGGGUGACCACGGGGUGCGGGGGGUUGGGGGCGCACUGUCCUCACCCCGCCUGCGGGCCACCUGGCCUGCGGGCGUGGGCCAGCCUGACGCACAUCUUCCUGGAGUGUCCAGCUUAUGCGCAGGCGAGGACGUGGCUGCAGCAGCUGUGGGCCUGCGUUGCGCCCCAGGCAGCGGCGCCGCCAGUGACGGACGCGGGCUUCAUGCUGGGGGACCGCAUGGGUUUUUUUUUUGAGGAAUCAUCCUUACAAGGUUGAACAGGGGCAGACGCGCUGCCCCCCUGCUGCCUGAAAGCAGCCUGGUCCCCGAGACCAGAACCCUGACAGGGCAAGAAGAGAAGAAAAGAGAAGAAAAACAGAAGCAAACACCUCGAAACCGCCAACAACCACCCCCAUCCAUCCCACCCAACCCCACCCCGACCCGGCAGACAGAGCAGGAGGCUGGCCCCCCCGCCCCCCGGGAGGGGUUGCACAAAAACACCGCCAGACCUAACCCAAGCACAAACCUACACCACAGCCUAACCGCAAGAACCACCACCACCGUGGGUAUGUGGGCCUCAGGCCUGCGGGGGGCGGGCGCGCUGCUGUGGAGCACUUUGCGGGCCACCUUCUUGUACGCCGUCUGGUGUGCGUACUGGUCCCGCGAGCCUGCUAAGCAGACGUCGGAGCAUGUGGUUUGGGAGGUGGUCAGCGAGCUGCGCAGGGUGAUGCAGCUGCGUUUCACUGCCGCCACGCUAACCCCUGACACCCUGUCGGCUCUGCCCACUCAGCUUCUCACCGCACAGCUCAAGGCGGCUAAGCUGGAGCACUUUCUUGCCAUCUGGUCGGCGGGUGGCGCGCUUUGUGAAGUGGAGGAGGUUCAGGGUGGGUCACCGAAGUUGAACUUGCGGCUGACGCUUGCAUCACCUGUGCAGGCCCCCUAGGUUUCCUUUUGGGCGGCGGUUCGUUCCAGGCGCUGGCGUGGCGUUUAUCGUCAUCAGCUUAUCUGGCGCCCAUGUGUUUUAGCUCUGGCUGCCGUCGCAGCACCUGGGCGGCUGUGGGACUUCCUGCUCAGCGCGUCUUGCAGCGGGCUGGAGCCCGCUUAGUCAGCGCCACAUCUGGCCCGUUUAGUUUUCUGCUUGUGUCUCCUCUGCCGGUUCUCCUGGGGUGUUGCUUAAGCAACCGACUUGUGGGGGUGGGGUGGGUUUGGGCGGGGCGAGUGCGUAGCGCUGGUGUUUCUUUUUCUGGCGCGCGGUGGUGGUGGUUCUUGCGGUUAGGCUGUGGUGUAGGUUGGUGCUUGGGUUAGGUCUGGCGGUGUUUUUGUGCAACCCCUCCCGGGGGGCGGGGGGGCCAGCCUCCUGCUCUGUCUGCCGGGUCGGGGUGGGGUGGGAUGGAUGGGGGUGGUUGGUGGCGGUUUUCGAGGUGUUUGUUUUCUGUUUUUCUUCUCUUUUCUUCUCUUCUUGCCCUGUCAGGGUUCUGGUCUCGGGGACCAGGCUGCUUUCAGGCAGCAGGGGGGCAGCGCGUCUGCCCCUGUUCAACCUUGUAAGGAUGAUUCCUUAAAAAAAAAAAGGUUUGCGCACCUGACAGGCCCUUGCCCACACACGGGGGUGCCGUUUACCACUGGCGCCGUGACGCACCUGGGUGUGCCCCUGUCGUGGGACUCUGAGGCGGCUGCAGCUGACUUGUACACCCGGCGGGCUCGCGGCAUGGCGUUUGUGGCGCGUCUGUGGGCUGCCCUGUCUCUGACUCUCGUUGGCCGUGUGCACAUUGCGAAGCAGGUGCUGGCGGCGAAGCUGGCCUACCACUUCAGCUUCCUCAACCCGUCGCCUGCGCAGCUGAAGGAACUCACCGACCUGGUGGACCACUUUGCUGCGCGCUCCAUGCACGCUGAGGACGCCAGCCUGGUGUCGCACGGGAACCCGCUCCUGCUGCCAAAGCGGGAAACGGCAUGUCUGACGUACAAGGAUGGGGGUGUCAACCACGUCGACCUGCCUACGUUCCUGUCUGCCCUGCAAGCUAAGACUUUCGCCCUCCUUGCCCAGCCAGGCCGGCAACCCUGGAAGAUGCUCACCCGGGCGCUGCUUACUCAUGUGCGCCCGGACUCCGCCACCACGUGGGCGUGGGUGUACAGCGACGCGCCGGCGCCCGCGGGGCUGCCUGCCCGGCUGGCGGCCGCGGUCGGCCACGUGCGGAGCGCGGGCGUGGAACAGCAUCCACUGCAGCCAGCCACUCAGCCGCCAGCGGUGCCGCCACAGUGGCGGGUUAGCCUGGACCAGCUGUGGGUGGCUAACGCUGCGGGGGCUGUGUCCUAAGUCCACUACACGGGGCGGCUCUUGGAGCCUGGGCCUGGCGUGCUGCCCCCGGCGGUGGAUGGGGCGUGGCAGCCUGCCUGUGUGCUGCAGCAUCGCAAGCCGCGGCACCUGUGGACCUUUGAAGAGCGGGCGGCGUACGAUGCAGCAUCACCAGGGGAACGGCCGGGGGCGUGGCCUCGGGCGCCGUACUUCCUGGCGCCGGAGGCUGGGGUGGUGGUGCACCCGGAGCACUGUCGGAUUGCGGGUGUCAGCUUGGCGGACUACACGGUGCGGGAAAUAGAAAUAGAAAUAGAGACACCCUGCCGUAGGCAAGUGGUGUGAAUUAAGGGAGUGGGGGGAGAUGAGGAGGUGGGCCAGGCCCGCCUCCUGUACGCCCCCACUACCGAGCAUGUGAAGGCGGGCGUGCAGGCCAGGCCUGCACCCCGCCAGGAUGUUACGUCCCGCCCGGGUCGCCAGGUGGCAGUCCCCGUUCGAGACGCCGUCUGGUCAAGACAAUGUGGUUGAGGGUGGCGACUGCGUGGUCGUGUAGGGUGUCGCAGCACUGCCUGGCUUUGUGGGAAGUGACGCCCAGGGAGGUGAGGAGGGGAUGGAGGUCCUUGCGGAUUGUGCCUGCAAAUCCGAGGCUGAUUGCGCUCUGCGGGGUGUAUUGCACUUUCCAUCCCGCUUCCCGCAGGUCGGCUGCAAGUGCCUGGUGCUGUUGUGCUUUUUCGUGUUGCUUGGCGGCGUGGUUCGUGUCGGCGGUGUAUCCUGCUUCGAUGAUGUGGAUGGUGUCGCGUUCGCUGGGAAACACGACAAAGUCUGGGUUUAGGGCUGCGGCGAGGGAGAUGGAAGGGAUUAGUAGGAUGUCGGGGCGGUAAUGUAGGUGGCGUCCUGCUGGUUUGCCCUCCUGGUCGGGGAGCAGCCACGGCGGCAGGCGGUUGUCAGCCGCGUAGUCUGGCAGAUCGGCUUUAGACGUGGCGUCCAUUACCAUGUAGCAGCCGCCGCAGUCACCACGGGAGAUGGCUCGUGCGAUGGUCUGGACUGCAAUGUUGUGUCGUUUAAUGUACAUUGCACGGAGUUGGGGGUUGUGGCAGCCUCCCAGUAUAUGGCCACCGGAGUCGGGUCCGCGACAGAGUGGGCAUGGGGCGGGGGUAUCGGGGCCAGCGCGGGGGGCUCGGCGGCCUGUGACUGUGCGGCCGAAACGGGCUGCGAGUUUUUUGUUCCACAGCUGCCCGUACAGAUAGUCCAUGCAGCGUUUGGCCUUGCGGUGCCGGCCUGAUUGCAGGUUCAUGGUUCGGGUGCUGGAUUUGAUAUCCAGGUCUGGGAUGGCGUUGGCAACGAAGCCAGUGUAGAGGGUUUCGCGGGUGUGGCCUUGGGCGAUGUGCGGGGCCGCGAGCGUGGCGAUGCCGCGGUUGAGGUCAUGCGCGUAGUGCCCUUCGUUCUUCUCUCGUGGCACCCCUUCCACAGUCGGUUUCAUAGUUUUACGUAUCCAGUAGUAUUUGCUACGCGGGUCGUUAUCGGAUUCCUCGACCAGCCACUCGGCCCCGGGCAUCUGUUCUCCCUUGGCGGUUUUUACCGCCGCCUGAUCUGCGAGUUCAUUGUGCGCAAUCCCUGAAUGUGCUUUGACCUUGAGGAGAUUAGUCCGGCGGCCGGCGUGGGAGCGGCGUUUCAGGAGCGCGAGGAUGUUAUCCAGCAGCGCUUUGUGUUUGCUGAAGGUGAGGAGUUGGGGCUGGUUGAUUGUUUUGCGGAUGAGGAACAGCGACGCAGCGGAGUCAGUGUAUACUGUGACUUCGGGGAGCGCUUGCACUUCGUCUAGCUUGAGCACUUGGUGUAUGGCCGAGAGCUCGCAGCGUGUGAUGGUGUUACAGCCGUGUUGCCCAGGGUUGACGUCGAUUUGAUAGCAGCGCAGCGUGCGGGCAUCAAUCGCUGCGGCCCCCCACGCGCUGGGCUGACCGAGGGCGUCCUUCUGCACUGAGCCAUCGGUGUAGAAGCCUUCAUAGGGAUUGAGGCGGAGGGGCUGGGUGGCCGCGAAGGGGGCCAGGGUGGCUGGCGUGGCCGGUACGGGAGGGGGUGUUACCCGGGGUGCCGCCGGACGGGUGCGGGUCAUCCGGCGGACUUGCUUGGUUACCCAUCGCGUGUGGGCCCACGUGAGUUGGGGCUGCGGGUCGACGGGCAUGCCCGAGAGGUAUAGGGAUGUGCCUAGGGCGUCGCGGAUGGGCUGGGCGAGUUGGGCUCCGGGUGUAUUGCUGAUCAGCACUAGGUCGUGUUUUAGGGUGAUGCCUGUGUCGUUGUGGAUCUGGCCGAGAAGGGCGUGUGUUGCUGUGGCGGAGAUGCUGCCAAGGAGUGUGACUCUGGGGUGGGCGAGGUAUCGUGUGUAUGGCGCGUUGCGUUGGGUGGGGAGGAUGAGCAGCGUGGCAGUGGUUGGCGGGUUGCGGGUGUUUGUAAGGGUUUCGGUGUGUUCGGCCCAUGCUAGUGCCCAGCGGACUGCGUGAGCUCCGUCUUCGGUGUUGGGUUCGGGGCAGGCGACAGCAACUCCAUCCCACGGCUGUGAGUAUGCAUCAUAGUUGGCCCCAAAGAGCAUGUCUUCUUCGUACAGUGUGUAGUAGGUGGUGGCGGCGUCCGAGACGUUAAGGGGUGAUGCGAAGAGCUCCGUUGUGCUGCCUAUUGCUGUGUGCAGGGUUUGCGUCAGUCCUUCACACAGCAUGCGUUCGCCUUUUUCGGUAACAGGGUGGGAUUUGGAGCCGCCCCCGGGUUUGUAUCGGAGGAGCAGGCGGGCGAUGGCGGCCGCAAAGCCUCUGCCCUGAUCGUGCUUGGCGUGCACUUCGGGCCAGGUUGUUUGUGCAUGCUGGUAGCGUUGCCACAGGAGGCUGAGCCGCUCUGCGCUGAUGGUGCCUAUGCACCGUCCGCGGGGGUCGUAGACAUGCGCCAGGUGGGUGCCGCAUGCCGGGGAGCCGGGGUCGAGGACUGUACCGAGCUGGACGGUGUAUGCUUGCGUGGGGUGGAUGUCUCGGCUAGGGUUGCAGGGCUCAACGUUGAUAUCCACGUAGUGGCGCAGAGUGCGCUGCCCUCGUGCUGUGUCAUUGCUGGAGUCUGUCCAGCGGCCCUGUCGCUGGUCGUGGCUGAGGUGGGUGUCCGUAGCGGGGGGUGGGGGGCGGGGGCCCAGGGGGACAGCGAGGCGGGCGUGAAGGGCGUCUAGGAGUUCCUGCUUGUUGUCUUGUGCAUCCAGGAUAGCGGCGGGUUCUUCCAAGUCUUCCCAUUCCACAAGGACGCGAGGUUCGUUACCUGGGGUGAGGAGCCAGGUAAGGCCGCCGGGUUUGGGGCGGUAGCGGUUGCGGGCGUAGAGGGUGAGGGAGCCGGGGGUGAUGACGGUGGGUUCCCACUGGACUCGGUAAAAGGGCGCGCCUUUGCUGGUGGUGUGCGCUAUCACUUGUUGUACUCGCUCCUGUUGCCCGUAUAGGGUGUUGGUGGUGGUUAGGGCUUUGGUGCGGUAGGUUUCGCUGAAGUGCUUCCAUGUGUCGGACGUGGCGGCUAGGUACGCGUCUUGCUCCUCCUGACUGAGCUUGUGUCGGUGUGUGAAUGUGGCUGGGGGUGUGGGGCCGAGGAGCAGGCCUCUGAGGUGUGCCGCGGGGUUUUGGGGCUUGGAUUUGCCGAGGAGGCUAGGGGCGGUAUGGAUCAGGUCUGCGCAGUGUGCUUCUGUAAGCGGGUCGAGCGAUGGAUCCCAAUCAAAUGCUGCGGGCGCAUUAGCAGGCGGUGAUCCACGACCUUCAGGUUCCCUGACCAUCUUAAUGCAAGCCCGCUUACGUUGCUGUGUGCCUGGCCGGCGUGUUUGUGCAGGUGCAUGGUUCUCGCCGGCGUGGUGGUCCUCCGCAGGCUCGGCCGCCGCGGUGGUGGCGGCGGCGGUGGUGGCCGCGGCGGUUUCUCCGGCGUUGGCAGUCUGUCCGGUGGCGGGGGCGCGCUGGCGGAGGAAGCGGUUAAGCGUGCCCCAGUCGACGGCGGCAGGUGCGGUGUGGGCCGUGUGGAGGCCAGUGAAGGUGUGUCCAUCUGGAAGAGUGCGCUGGGCAGCGGUGAGGGGAGCGGUGCUGUUGUGGGUUUUGGCACGAGCUCGGGUUUCAGCGUGGAGUGCGAGAGUGAGACGGUUGAGGGCUAGCCUGUGCCGCCUUUGGGCCCUCGGCCAUGUGUUUCUUAGAGUGUUGGCAUCGAUGACGCAGGUGCGGUCCGGAGUGAGGAGCUCGCGGAAGUCGCUGGUGAGUUCAAGGAGGGGUUGAAUCAAUCGGAAGGGCAGGGCCUGUUCCGCGUCGGCGCCUGGCGGCACGGUGCGUGCAAGGAGGGCCGACAAACCGUGUAGUGUAGUGUGGUAUGCGCUGCCCUGUUGGGUCAGCUCCAGGCCCGCGUCUGUGAUCAGCGACAGCUGUCGCAGGCUGGUAUAGAAGCGGCAUUGUGUGCGGAGCUGAUCUGCGGGUAUCUUCUGUGCCACGCUGUGUUGCAGGUGGAGCAUGGCGCGGGUGACGGCGCCCAGCCUGCCUCCAUCGUUCAGGGCCUGGACGAGAGCCUUGCCGGCGCGGCGGACAUACAGCUCGCGGAUGCUGCCUACGCCCAGGCCAAGGGCGUUGGUGGGUUGGAGGAUAGCGCGGGUGGGGAAGCCUCGUUUCAGGCCGUAGCACAUUUUGGCGGUGCUGGCAAUCAGGGAGUCGAGGCUGGUGACGUCAUGUGUGCUGUACGGCAUGAACGGGAGGCUGUAGGCCACUGCUGGGUGGAUGGUAAAUUGUAUCAUUCGGAGCUUUUGGUCUGGUGUGGCAAGUGAUGUGGCGAUGCGUUGCCCUCGCUUCUUAAUCUUUUCCCGGAUGUACUGUACUUGUGCGCUCCAGUCUAGGGUAGGGGUGAUGUGGAUGCCGAGGUAUUUGUAAGAUUCAUGCGGGGGCUUGUAUGGGAUAGCGGUGCCGUCUAUGCGGAUUUGGCCUUCUAGCAUCCGGGCGAGCGCUGCCUGGUGGGGCUUGCUGCGGGGGCCGCCAAGGGUGGGGUCGGCGCGCGCGCGGCCGUGGAGUAUGCCUUGUAGUUGGCAUUUGGAGACGUUGACCUUCAAACCGCCCCAUGCUGCGUAUUUCUCAAUUUUUUCAACUUGGAUUCGUAGAUUUGAGAUUUGGGUUGUGGCUGUGACCAGGUCAUCAGCGAAGGCGCCGGAGCUGAGGUUAUGCUUGUCGUUUUCGGCUUUGGUGAGGCAUCCGUAUUGGUACCCGCGCCCGCCAACGUGUAGCCACCGGAGCAGCGGUUCAAUAAAGAUGAUGAACAGUAGGGGUGAUAGGACGUCACCCUGCACUGUGCCUCGUUGGAUGGGGAUGGGGGGCGUGGUGCCGUGCUCAGUGCGAACGCUGGUGGCUGCCUUGCCGUAGAGGUCCCGUACCACCUCAAUCAGGUCGGUGGGGUAGCCUAGAUCGUGCAUGACGAUGAGCAGUUUGUCAUGGUCGAUCGUGUUAAAUGCGGAGGUGAAGUCAAUGUACAGUAGGAAGAGGUCGCGUCCGGUGGUGGCGGCGUCCUCUAUUGCGUGGAGCAGGUUUUGGACUUGCCGUUCGGUAUUGCGGCCUCUGAGAAAUCCUUCUUGUGACUCCGUGAAAAUGUGGGCUUGUUCGCUAAACAGGGCGGCGUUUACGGUGAUGAGAGAGGUGUACAGCUUGUAGAGGGUGUUGGCCAGCGCGAUAGGCCGCUUAUUCUGUAUCAGCAGGGGGUCUCCCUUCUUGGGUAGGAGGACGGUGUCGGACUGUGUCCAGUGUGUAGGGAUGUGCGCUUUCACCCACAUGAGGGUCAUGAGUUGGUGGAUGGCUGUCUGCAGGUUGGUUGGUAUUGUCUGGAGGAGUUCGUUGGGUAUUCCAUCGGGCCCCGGGGCCUUGCGGCGGGACAGGUGGUUGACGCAGCCAAAGAACGUUGUGCUGUCGGCUAUGCCGGGCAGUAGGGUGGCGGGUGCGUCGGUUGGCUUGGAUAGGGCCGGCAUACGAUCAGGUGCGUCGGGCCGGCUCCAGGGGUACUGUUUCUCGCUGUGGGGUAUGUCGUAGUGUCCUGUGCGGGGGCCAUUGAUUGGGAGGAGUUGAGCGGUGAAGUGCUGGUGGAUGCUGCUCAGGAUUUUCUCGGGUGCGGUGUGGACUUCUUUGGUGGUGGGGUCAGUGAGGGCGGGCGUGCCGCGUGGCUGGUCCGUUUCAUCGAAGAUCUUCUGGUGUGCGCGCUUUGGCUGUGUUGCAACCAGUCGUCGGAAGGCGCGGGCUGCCCGUUUGGUGUUGAGUUUCCUUGCUUCCUUUUUUGCGGCACGGAGGAGGGUGCGUGCGUUGAGUAGUUGACUCCGGAUGGCGGUGGGUGUGUCGGCUUCUGCGGGGGUCGGCGGGGUAGGUGUGGGACUGGUGGUGUUGGGUGGGGGCGUCGGGGCGGGGUGAGGUGAGGUGGUGGGUGGGGUGGCGCCCGCUGCGUUUGUGACAGUAAGGGCGGCUGUGAGUCGUUCUUUGAGCUUGCUGGUGGCAGUCAGGAGGCGCGUCACUGUUUUUGACGUGUGGUGUCGUGGGCUUGUAGUGCUGGCGCGCGGCGGUUUCUUGUCGCAGUAGGUUUUGAGAACGUCCAGGCACUUUUGGAGGAUGGAUUCGAGUGUGUUGCUGAUGGACGUGGUGUCGGCUGCACUAACUUCGGGAAGGGCGCGGAAUUCCGCAGGGCUUGGGGUGUUCCGCUCGGCUUGGGCAGGGGUGAGGCCGGCAGGGUAUAGCUUAUUGGUGAUGGCGAGGUGUGCGGGGUGUAGCGUGUUCAGUAGGUCGGCGAUCUCUUGCCCAAUGGUUUCUUCCAUCUUGAUGCGCGCUUUCUCGCGUUGGUCUUUGGUUGGUGGAUGGUAGUUUACCCAUGCGUCAGGAUCGGAGGGGGCGGCAGGUGCCGUGGGGAAGGGGUAGAGGCGGAGGGCAGCGAGGGGGACGCUGGAGAGGAGAGCACGGUGGUCGAGGGCAUCACCGCAUUCAUGCACCGCUUCCUGUCCACCUCCUGUUGUAGUGAUGAUGGCGUGUGUGUGGUGGCUUACUAGUAGGUCGUCAAUGCGGCUCAUGUGCGGUGCCGUGGCUUGGUCUUGUAGGUAUGUGUGGGGCCGGGGGUGGUCGUGUGUGGGCGGUGUGAGUGGGUGCAGGCCCGCAGAGGUGGCGAAGGCAAUGUGGGCGCGGUCCGUAGCGUUCAGCUCGCCCGUGCUGCGGUCGGAGGGGAACAGCACUGCGUUCCAGUCGCCUCCCAUAAGGAGAUGCUCUUUAGCGGCUGUCGUUUUGGCGGCUUGGUCGGUGCAGUAUUUGUAGAUUGCAGCGCGGGUGGCGUCGUCGCUGGGGGCAUAUAUGCCGAUGGCGUGUACUGGCGUGCUGUGUGGUGGUGCAAUGCGUAUGUGGCAGACGUGGCCUGCCAGGCGUGCGUCUGUGUUGUGUGCAUUCAUGUCUGUGGUGCCAGACGGGCGGCUAAAGCGGUGGGUGACACCGACCAUGACGCCGGCAUGGGGGCGGGUUCCCUCUCGUGGGUUGUAGGGUGCGUUGCUGGUGUAGGUUUGGUAGUGCGAGGAGAGGCCCUUUUUCGCGCUGCCCAUGCUGUAGUGGAGGCGGGUGGGAAUUGGCUGUCAUUGGCCGCUUAAAAGACAUUUAGAUACAUACUGCUACACUACGCCCAACAUACACCAACGAGCUCGGUUUGAAUUUCUGAACAAGUGAAAUAGGCGAACAUAGGAGCUGUGCAUGCCGCAGCAGAAUAUGGACGUUCUAUUUAAAGCCCAAACGAGCAAGGGGACCACUGUGUGCAAAGCCUUUUGCCGAUCCGUCAGUCCCUCGUGGCUGCACCGUGACGGCAAUUGUGUACCCACCAGAACGGCACCUUGCUCGGCGGCUGACACUCAGACUAUCACAAACGGUGCUAUCGUGGAGGGCAAGAAGCAGGGAUCGCGACACAUGCCAGCGAAGGCGGGACGCUGGACCAAAGGAAUCAGGGGCUGGCUGAUGCUGGUGCUGAUAUUACUAGGCAAUUGCGACAUUCUCGCCAAGCAGGGCAGGGAGCGGCAUUCCGGGGCAAACAAUGGACUCGACCUGGGAGCCUGCCCGGGCACAGCCUCACAGACGACUCCGGAUGAUCAAAUACACCAAGAACGCAGCAGUGAACUUGAGAAACAAGGGCUCCAACACAAGAAAAUUUCCCAAGUUCCCUCGCCCAAGUUGGACAAGAAGUUUCAACCCCAAAUUAGCCAUUCAUGCUCUCAAUACUUAACACAACGUGCUAAUAAUACCACUGAGGAAAGGGGGACCCACAACAAAGAUCCAGAAAACACCUCCACUCUGCACCGACAGGACUUAAAAACAAGCACACAUACCCUUGGAAAACAAUACAGUCGUAUAGCUUUAACUGCCAUCGGCAGUCAGAGGCUGCCUAGACUCCAACGGCUCGCCAUUGCCCGCCACGUCGAGAGUACACUGCAAGUGGCCCACGAGGGCCUUCACAGUGUGACACGACUAGCCGGCACCACCAGCUGCAAUACUGAGAGUAUGUCGCGUCACGUUAAGCUUAUAAGGGUGGUAUUAAGUGAUUCAAUGAAGACCGCCAGGAGCGCCUGGAUGGACAGCAUGCGGUUUACUACUGAGAUUGCGCUUGCUUGCGGAGAGAGUCUGAUUGGGCCGUACCCAGUGGUUGUGUGUAAGGCUGAACAUGACUGGUACUCACUCUGUGCUCAUAUUUCGAUGAUAACCCUAGCACAUUGGAUGGGAAAUGGGCUGGUGCGAGCUGCAUACCAAGGGCACUCACUGACGCUGAAGCUAUUCCUAGGCACAUGCAGCCGACUCUCCACCCCCCUAAAGCAAUUCCUAGUAUGGGCAGCGACGUGCACACGACUUACACUGAAUGCUCUCAUAAUUGGCACAACGGCACUAGCUACUGUCAUGCUUGCCUUCCUGCUCUUGAAACACCUACGUGCUGCUGGCAGGAAAACACACACGACGACAGCGGCAACAGAGCUGUAUGCCAAUGGGGCUGCGCUGACCACUCUACUUAUUGGACCGCUCUGCAUCAGCCUCGCUAUGACUCCAUUCUGCUUCCUUAUGCUUUUCUACAGUGCAGCCGCCAUCCCACUCGGGAUCGCCGCACUAACAAUUGCAACUGACGGCACUAUUCUGGCCCUGGCAAUGCUCCUGUACAGCGCACACCUGGCCCGCCGGCAUGCACCAGCCAUAUGGCCAUACAGAAAUGCCGUCAUAGGCACAGUAGCCAUGCUAAUCACCUUGUGUGCAAUGUACACACACCUCCCAUCUCUCUGCACAGACCACCAGCCGGUCACCGCCCUGCAAGCAUGGGUUCCGACUAUGGUCACUGGCUCGGCCUCCAUGGGGCAGGCUGCCCUGUGGCUCACAAGUGCACCCCACUCCACCAUGGCACACACCCCACUUCCGGGUCCCACAAGGUCACCACCCCUACGGGGGGCCUGGGAGACCCGGCCAGCUGUCCGCCAAACAACAGCCCAAUCCGCCAAUCCGACCCGUCCACAGCCACUACACUACCCCCCCGGGCUCUCAAACACAAGCUACCGCCAGACACAGCAACUCGGAUUCUGCGGCAUCCAUGCCAUAAAUAACAUGCUAGGAUUCUCCUGGAUUGAUCCGUUCAAUGUGCUGAGACAUGCCAACGCAGUAACAGCUGUACUGAACCAAAUGCAACACCCAAACCGCGACGGGUGGGCAAACGCCUACACACAAGCGGGCAGGUUUGACAUGAGCAUCAUCAACCACUACCUUUACUAUAACGCCACAAUCGGGAAUGCAAACGCACUUCCCAACAAGCGUUUAGUCAUGCGCUGCGCCGUGUCACAUUUUGACACACCAGGGGAUCCCCCUCAUUCCAAAGACUCCGUACUCGCCGCAUUACCACGUGAGGCGCGCCGCCUUGGCUUCAAUGUCCUCAUGAAUAGCCGGCCCCAUGUCUAUGCAGUCCGCCUUGAGGCAGGCCAAUGGCGCAUAGUCGAUUCAGAAAAUACACCACUCCACAACACUCUCCUUGAAGACGAUGGAUGGAGUGCUAUGGAAGGCCAUAUUUACUACCUCGGCACCGUCUCCACUGUAGACAUGGAGGCCGUGCGCAAUACACUCGGCCCUUGCUACAACAUCUUUCCACAAGAAGCAAGGCCACUGCCCACAGCAGCACCAACAGACCGCACAAAUGCCCCCAUUGAAAUAGACAUCACUCAACCUGAACAAAGGAACACUGCUACAAGCCCAAACAACACAACAAAUGCUGCCCAACGCCUCGCCCCAAACAUAACCGCCCAAAUACGAACCAUACGUACCCUGGCCGCCGCCACCGCCACCAAUGGGACAGCGCUGGCCCGCUGGACAGGGCGCACAAACACGCUCACCGACCUAUUCAAACGACAGCAAACCGCACCAACAGCACGGCAAGACACAACUACCGCACAACCUAGCCCAGACCAAACACAGGCCCGCACACUACAUCUUGUCACACACAACGUACGGGGCCUACUCUCACAAGUAACAGCCGCAGGUGCCCCGGGAAACCUGAGCUUCACACUCUGCAAUCUUGCUGCCUGGAACGCCGAUAUUGUGAUUUUGACUGAAACUAAGCUUGGCCACCGACACGACCCACUAAAGCGAGCCUUUAUGAAUGAAGGGUACCGCCUGUACUGCAGCUCUGUUCCACGUAACACCACGGAAAGAGGCAGCGCCGGCGUCGCCAUUGCCGUGUCCACACGGUACAGUAACCUGAAUAGUGUUACCCACCACACUCCUCCAGUCACCCUACACGGCUAUGUGUCGCACAUUCAGAUCCGCACACGGGGCAGCACGCCCCUUACAGUCCUGGGUGUAUACGCGCCCGAAGACACGGCAAUCCGCAAGGCCAUCUACCAUUACUGCCAGACCACCCUGACACACACCAGCGCCUGUGAACAACACCUGGUUGUGGCGGGAGACUUCAAUGCUGUAGCUAACGCUGCAGAUCGCACAGGGCCGCUUGACUCUGCUGACCGACUACACCAACGCUUUCUGGCACAAACUGGCUUAUUACCCGCACGAGGCACCAUGACCACAGAGGGCGAAUGGUCCUAUGAACAAACACAACAUGGUGUCACAACGCACCGCAGCCGCAUAGAUGACAUACUCAUGUGCACGACAACGCUCACCGCGUGCCCCAGCCCACACGAGCACGUAAGUACAGUCGCGGGUAACUUUGACCAUAAACCUGUACACGUAAAACUGCCUGCUGACGCGCUGCACCUAUGGGAAGCACCGCAGCCCGCAGCGCCACCAGCAACAACAUCUGAAGACAGCCCACGCUGGUCUCGCGUGACGCUUCCAAUCACCAAGAAGCAGCUGGCCGCCGCUGCCGCCCACUUGGAGGACAUAAUGGUCGAGGCCACGGCAGACCUGCACAAUGCCAGCAAGGGCGCGGUGCAGGUGAUUGACAAUGCUCUAAAACAGCACACUAAAAACCCAACCACCUACCCGGCAAAUACAAUGCAAUGGGACUUGGCGCACAACAGAAUUGUACAACAAACCGACGUGAACCAGUUGGCUGAGCGGUUAGGCAAGGCUCUCGAAGACGGCCUCACCUGCCUACUUGAAGAGUGCACACUAAAACCGCCACUCACCGGGAAACACCAUCUUUCCCGGUCAGCUGCCCGACAUCUUAAACCAUUAUGGGACAAGGAGGUGGAACUCAAGCAAACCCUCACUAACCUGACAGCCGGCGGUGCAGCGCCAGACACAACAACGGAAGGAGAGGCUGCCGCCAUACGAGGUCAGAUAAAGGACUGCCAAGCCCAACACCGCCAGUUGGUGGCGGACCGAGCCAAAGCGCAGCGUGAAGCUGCUGCCGCUGCCCUCCAGCACACGCUCGCCACCAGGCCUGCGCAAGGGCACAAACGCAUCUUUCAGAAAGAAGCAACCGAACGUGGCCUCCCCGCGGUCCGCAACCCUGAAACAGGCGAGGUGGUAACCGACCCUCCCAGCAUUCUAACCGCCCUGGAAGGGCACUUCCGCAAACUGUCAGCACCCCCACGAGGGCCCCGCACAGGCGAAUAUCGCCUGUCGCCCGGCGCAACGCGUGGGUACCCGUUCGAACUACCUAACGCUACGGACGCCUUUACGCUUGAGCGUAACAGGCACCCGGAAGCACACUCCAUGCUUUCUAGCAUGGCAGACCCCGCCAACUUCGACCACUGUAUCGCCCACCUCUCUCGUAACAAAGCCACGGGCCCAGACGGCAUUCCGAACGAGCUGCUCCGCAUCUUGCCUCACGGCAUGAAGCGAGCCCUACACAACACACUGAAGAUCAUGUACGUCAAGUCCACAAUCCCGGAGUCCUGGGCCACUUCAGACACGGUCCUGCUCCCAAAACCUGGGGACGCUCUUGACAUCAAGAACAAGAGGCCCAUCGCUCUAGCCAACACUUGCUAUAAACUGUACACUUCUAUGCUCACCCUGGGCAUCGGUGAACUGGCAGGCCCACUCCAGCUGUUCAGCGAAUCACAGGAGGGCUUCCGGGCCUACUGCAACACGGAACGGCAGAUACUGAACCUUGUGCAUGUACUGGAGGACGCUGCCCUGUAUGGGAAAGACGUAUACGCAGUGUAUGUUGACUACAGCUCUGCGUUUAACACAAUCGAUCAGGACAGGCUACUCCAGAUUAUGUUCGAUCUGGGCCUGCCUGACGACCUGAUAUGCGCAGUUCGCAACCUAUACGCGCACGCCACCACCCGCAUUCGUACUGAACAUGGAUGCACAUCCGCCAUCCCAAUAGAACGUGGCACAGUGCAAGGUGACACCCUGUCACCGGUACUGUUUAUCUUGUUCAUGGAACCGCUUGUGCGGUGGCUCCACGCAGGUGGGCGGGGCUACCGCUACGGAUGCCUCAGCCCGGAGGACAAUGCACGGUACCAUUGCAGCGCCGCCGCGUACGCUGACGACUUGGCGGCCCUGACCACAACGCUGGAAGACCUGCAGAUCCAAUGUGACAAAAUCUCGGACUAUGCAGACUGGGCAAGCCUGCGAGUCAAUCACACCAAGUGCGCAGCUACCGCCAUCUGGCACAACAAGUCCCGGUCCACCCCGACCCUCGACGGACCCACCGGCCAAGCCACGCUGAACGCGAUGCACCGUGAACUGACUAACAAGCUACGAAUUGGUAACACCACUGUACCGUACUACCCGCCCACAAAACCCUACAAAUACCUGGGGGUGCAACUCACCUUCUCACUAGACUGGAAGGCGCAAGUCUCCCGCGUCACGGAAACUGUGAAAGAAAAGGGCACGGCCAUAGCCACGUCACUGGCCACGCCGGCACAACGCCUACGCAUGCUGCAGCAAUGCGUCCACACCUCAAUCGCCUAUGCAUUUGCUGCGAUGCCAUACACGAAACAGGACAUCGCAAACUUUGACGCUGCACUGGCCGGUUACGCAAAACGGUGCUACGGGCUGCCACGCAGCUUCCCUACCCGUACCACCCUUCUCCCAAUCGAUGAAUAUGGCCUAGGACUGGGCUCACUCUUACCCCAGUACGCGCGUGUGGCCAACCGCGCGCUUGUCCUUGCUCUAAACGACACAGGCCGACUGGGCGUGGUUACCCGUGCCCUCCUGCCACGGCAGCAUAGCCUGGCGGGUACGAGCCUCGCACACCACCUACCUGCAGACAGAGGGCGCUUCUUCACAACUCUGCAACAGAUGACCCUCGCUCGUGAGCAUGGUAUACAGCUCUUUUACAAGGGCACACCGUAUACCACCCCUACCUGGUCAAUUGUCGAGGCUUUGGACGCCGCAGCUGCAGCGCGUGCGGCAGCACCCCUCUCUGUCGAACACGUGCUCCCGCUCGCGGAACUCCAGCUCGAAUUCAGCCACUUGGUCGACCGCAAUACGAGCCGCCAUCUGAUUAGCACCCGGGAGCUCGAGAAACUCCUGGGGGCAAGCAGGGUCCGCCACAAACACAAGGUUGCACUCAACAGGCUGAGUCUGGCCCUGGUUGCCACGGCGGGAUUGGACGGAGACCAAAUGCCACCGGAAAAACACGGGAGCCCGAACCCGCUUCCGCCUACCCAGCGUGUGAUCCCACCCCUGGAAGAACUCCAGGCCCUCUCCGCACGGAACGACCCUCGACCCCCAGGCAUGGCACCACCCCUCACCGCACUCAUGACGGGAGGCCCCGCCCCACAGCCCCUCACCCCAGCCCCAAACACAACAACCCAAAUGGACAUCGAAGAAGCCAGCCCACUCUAUCACAACCCGCCCUUGCAAUACACGCCAACUGCCUUGGGGCAGAUGGCCCCAACUCCUGCCCCAGCCGCGGAUACCGCAGCUCCCGUCGCCCAACCCGAAGCCAACCUGCGGACCCGGCCACGGAAGACGCCCGUCAUGCGUACUCCCACACACCCAACUGCCCACUCCCGCCGCGUCACGAAACACGCCGCCCAAAAGGCCCGCAUUGCAGAAAACACGCGCACAACACCCGACGACCUGCUCACCGGUGAUAAAGCCGCAAUCAGCACGGCUAUGCGCCUCACAAAUGGAGACGAAAGCCUGGCCGUUGGCACACGUGGGUACGAAACGGCACGUUCAGUGUUCACGGCCCUGGCAAAAGACAUGAGCAGGCACAACCACCUCUGCAAGCCCCACCCAAGGGACCCCCCUUCAUUCAACAACCGAACCCCGGUUACCCGCACGCAACGGCCCCUGGCCCCCACAAUAACCACUCUGCUCACUGCGAAUGCGACCACGCCGUCUACUGGCGCCGUGCAAACCUACCUUCUCCACCAAGGGCAGCCAGCCGCGGCCGCCGCUGAGGACCCAAUGGAUGUCGACGCCGCAGCACCUGAGCACGACCAAAUGGAAGUGGACGAUAGUCAGCACGACCUGAUGGAAGCGGACGAUAGGCAGCAAGCCUCACCACUCAGGCUGUCUCACUGGCGGGGCAAGCAAACACUCUGGAAACUAGCCCGGGAACGUGUAGUCAAGGACCUGGUCCACCCUCCUACUGAUGACUGCACCAACGGAGAUGCGCAGCUUACCUACGACCUGGAUAAUGAUGGCCAGGAGCUGGCGGCCAUCCUGUACCGCACAAACCAACAAACUGUCACAGAUAAGGAAAUUGCACGCAAACGCAAAGCGGGCGAGGACACAACCAACACCCGCGAGCCAUACUUCGCGGUCCAAUGGAAGCCAUCUGUUAUCCCACCUGGCCUAGUCACCGCCUUCUCACGCAUGGGCUACGCCACGGUCACAGACGUGCGCUGCUUCAAGCACCCACUGCAGGCUCGCCCACGCGCGACGCAGCCCCACCCGGACGGGGCCGGCACGACAGACGCAGACACAGCAACAGCGGCCCAACCCGCCGGCAUCCUACCCGCACACGCGCCGCCCACCGCACCUGCGCCCGGGCCACUCGAGACAACACAUGCCCCACGUGCGGCCCUCUUUUCAUCGAGGUCGACUCGUCUCCUGCGCCAAGUUACGUGGGCAAACAGCAAUGAGCGUGAGCGUGACCUUAAGCAUGACCUCGAGUGGGAGGAGCUGAUCUCAGAAUACACCAACCGACUUGCUGCGGGACCUGAUGCACCCGCCCGCCCCACACGGCCUCCAAAGGAUCGCAACCUGACAAUGCGGCAACGUCAGGGCCGACACGAUGACGACCCGGACGAUCAAGCAACGCGUGCACGGGUGACCCGCGCAGCAACCAUCAUCUUUACCGUCCCCAGCGAUCCCUACCACGACGUUUCCCCCCCAGGCAGCUACGCCAUCACUACCCCCACAGCAGGCCGGGCCCUCCCCCGAGAGGCCCAUGUCUAUGAACCCAGCGGACGUUGGCUUGGCAUGCUCACCUACGCACGCCUUCAAACGCUCUGGGAAAGCUUCAACCGGACCAGCAACAACCGGACCAAGGCCUUCGAGGAGGCGGUGGCUGCCCUGCUGCACAGAUACCGGCGCGACCCGGGGCAAACUGAUCAUAAGACGGCACCACAGCACCAGACGUCCCUCCCCUCGGCAACCGUCCGAGCCGUUGUGCGCAGCCUGCGAAACACCGGCAGGGGGAGGGUCAAGGAAAUGUUUGCCUCGCCCCUGAACCACACGACCGAUGCCGAUGAAUACUGGAGCCGGGAAGCCGCUGAUGUGGUGUUCGGCGCCCAACACGAUGCCUACAGCACUGCAUGGACGGGGCUCCACUAUGCACACCCUCCUGCAAACCCCGAUGCCUCACGACAGGCCCUCGUAUGGGCCCUCGCCAGUGCCGAGACAGUCAACAACUCCCCGGAACCCACACUGACCAUUCUAGUCCUCCCAAAGUGCGCAACUUACCCACACACACAGUGGCUAACCCACCCGCUCUGCCGCCGACUCGCCACCUGGACGAACGGAGAACUGGACUCCCCAGGCACAGCUGGGAUGGAGCCUGGACUCGGCACUGACGUGCCCCUGCAGAAGCAACGCGGAGCCAUACUGGUUGCCGUUGGCAACACAGCUGGGCUAAACGCCUUCACGCAGAGCUGGAAAGGCCUUCGCUCCUCACUGGUAGCCGGUCCCCACGCGCCCGCAACCGUCGCUGACACCCACCUCGGGUCAGGUACGUUAAACACGUCGUGUCCCCACAUCCCACGUCACAUCUCCAAACAUGCCAAGUACCUCGCAACUCACCAGAACAUUGCCACUAUGGUCACGCCUGACGAAGCUCCAGCGACACCGAGGUUGAAUCGGACACAAUUCCAACGUACACUGCCGCUGGCCCACAACCCCGAGGAAAUUGUAUGGACCGAUGGCUCGGUAUCCAAGAUAACAACUGAAAACGGUAGAGAACUACAAGUGGCUGGGGCUUGUGCUUGGCAUAAAGACCGUGUGGUCUACGUAAACCCAAAUGGAUUUGGCUGCACUAACACUAUUACACGCGCCGAGCUCGCUGCAAUUCAUGCAGCCCUGGAAGAAUUCGGAGGUGAAACUAGUAUGUUCGCGAAGAAAACGCUAACCAUUGCCAGUGACUCAGCUGCAAGCUUGUAUCUAAUUAAACGGGCUAUUAACGAACCACGCCGCUUACAUCUGAGCAAACAUAAGGCACUUCUGAGUUCGAUCGCCGAUUUGCUCCAUGCACGAGCGAAGAGGGACGCACACACCGUUUUCCUUAAAGUCGUUUCUCACACGGGUCUGCACGGUAAUGAAGAAGCCAAUAAAGGUGCAGCAGACGUAGCUACAAGCACUAAACCGGCUGACGUCUCGGAGCUCGCUGACAAUAACCCCCACGCCACACACUGGUGGCCAGCAACGACCCGGACGCGGGAAGACGGCUCUACCACCGUGCACUACAUCUCGGACCUCAAUCGGGGCCUCCUGAAAACACUAGACCCUUCCUCCCAUGGCGGUCAUUCCAAACACACACUCUACACGACCAAGUGGGCGGAGUCCGCCCCACACCUGGACACCAGGGCCAGCACCGCCUACAUGACGCACCCCGGCGCUGGGCACAGCCUCCGACGCUUCAUCCAGAACGCCAGACAGGGAGGCCUCAUCUGCCCCGCCCGGCUUGCGCUGUUCAAACUACGUGCAAGUGACACAUGUGCACUCUGCGCCCUGAUUCACCAGCGCGCUGGAUCCCCCCCCGAACGGGGCAACGCAGGCCACCUUGCCGGCCACUGUGCGCACCCCCAACUUGUUGGGGCCCGCAUCGCCAAACACAAUGCCGCCGUCCGUAUGAUCGCGGAAUGCCUGCACCAUGGCGCCAACGGUGGCGGGUACAUGUUGAUGGACGCAAGCAGUGCAGAUGCACGCCCCGAAUACUGUGCGGGCACCUGCCCCCCCAAAUGGAUGCUGCGCAACAAUAUCCCCGAGGCCGACCGAAAAAGGAUGAGGCCUGACAUCCUGUUCAUCCCAUCCCUACCACGCUCCAACGUGGGGGCUAGUGGGCCCCGCGGCCUUACAACCGCCGGCCGACGGCAACACAAAGUCUACCUGAUAGAAGUUGGUUACACAUCGGACCUCCACCACAGCGAAAAGUGUGACCAGAAACAAGCCCAGCACACUCGCCUAGCCGACGCCCUGCGGGAUGCAGGCUGGGACGUAGUAUAUAAAAAGGAGCAGAUUGUUACGCUGGGCCACGGCGGCACUGUGUCAAACACCUUGGAACCCCUCCUUCGGUCGCUGGGUGCCACCACCACAUCAGCAAAAUCCUGCUGCUCGCGCAUACACAUGCACAGUGUCAUCAGCCUGCGCACCACAUCCCUUCUCUACUACCGCCUUGAGCGCGAAAUGGGGAUUGUGAACUCACGCCAAGUCGGCCCCACUGGCGGCGCCACGGCUGCUGGCCCCAGCCCUCGCGAUCCAGGCUAACUUUCCACCUUUUGACACGGUGGGGUGAGCAAAACUCACUCCUCCUUAAGAAACGCGGCCUCCUUCGUGAACCGCGUACAUAUUAUUAUUAUUAUUGGGUGCAGGCCCGCAGAGGUGGCGAAGGCAAUGUGGGCGCGGUCCGUAGCGUUCAGCUCGCCCGUGCUGCGGUCGGAGGGGAACAGCACUGCGUUCCAGUCGCCUCCCAUAAGGAGAUGCUCUUUAGCGGCUGUCGUUUUGGCGGCUUGGUCGGUGCAGUAUUUGUAGAUUGCAGCGCGGGUGGCGUCGUCGCUGGGGGCAUAUAUGCCGAUGGCGUGUACUGGCGUGCUGUGUGGUGGUGCAAUGCGUAUGUGGCAGACGUGGCCUGCCAGGCGUGCGUCUGUGUUGUGUGCAUUCAUGUCUGUGGUGCCAGACGGGCGGCUAAAGCGGUGGGUGACACCGACCAUGACGCCGGCAUGGGGGCGGGUUCCCUCUCGUGGGUUGUAGGGUGCGUUGCUGGUGUAGGUUUGGUAGUGCGAGGAGAGGCCCUUUUUCGCGCUGCCCAUGCUGUAGUGGAGGCGGGUGGGAAUUUUGGUUUCGGUGAGGAAGAGGAUGUCGGGGGUGCGUGUGGUGACCGUGUGGAGGAUGCUUUCAUGGUGACUCAACAGUUCCCUGGUGUUGAGGGUGAGGAUGGAGAUGCGUCCGUCGGGGGGUGGGGAGGGGCUGGCCUGGGCUUGGCCGUCUGCGGGUUCGCUGGGUGUGUUUUGGAGUGUGGCCGUGUGUCUUCUUUUGUGCGCUGUUGCUAUGGUGGUCUGGUGGAGUCUCUUGGCUGGUGGUGGUGCGCUGGGGGUGCCAGUGGCGAGUUUGCGGAGUUUAGGGGUGGGGUUGGGCGUACGCCUGGCGGGGCGCUUUGUGGGGCCCACUGGUUUGGGCACAGUGCGUGUGGCAGUUUUGGUUUGACAGGCUGGGCCUGGGUUGGCGCUCGUAGGCGGGCUAGGGGAGUUUGUGGUCUUGGGGCCGGCAGGGGGGGCGACGGCAGGGUUGAUGGGGGGGUCAUGUGCGAGGGCUGCGGAUGUGGGGCCGUUUUUGUUUGCGGUGGAGGCACCAUUGCUGUUUGGAGCGCGUGUGCGUUUGGUGCCUGCGUGCUGGCGGUUUACCUCAUUUGUGCGGACAGGGGUGAUGCGGAUGCCCUCGUGUGAGAGGGUGAUGCGGGUGGUGGGGGGGCUGAUUGGCGGGAUGUCCCGGAUGUUGAAGUUGGUUGAUACUUCGGGGUGUCGGGUGUAAGUGAGGGUGAGGGUGAGGCCGCGCCCCAGGUCCGCCCACCGGUAGUAGCCUGGCUGUGCAGUGUCGGCGUUCGUGAGGGGGAUGGCGCGUGGUGCAUUGGAGUCGUGUAGCCACCAGCGGCCGUUUGCGUGUUUCACAGUUCGGGCGUGGCCACCGUGGAUAAGAAUAAAGCCGAUGUGGCGGGACUCGGAGGGGAUGGCAUUGAGUGCUUCGUGCUGGUUUAGGCCCCCGUGGUACGAGCAUGCCGUGAGUUGGACAUGGGGGAGGCCUGGCAGGGGGGAACAGGUGUUGGCUUUGAGGCAGUGGUUUAUGAGGCCAUAGUCUAUGCUGGUGGCGGUCAGGUAGGUCGCCCAGGUGGGCACUGAGGCUGGGGAGUUGCAGUGCAGGAGCUGCCACCCCCGCUCCCAUUCGGCGCAGACUGUGGCGGGUGUGAGAAGGCGUUUCCCGAGCAGGUUGUUGGUUGCAUGGAUGAGGCAGGAGCGGUUGUCGUGCUGUUUAUCAUGGAGGUGUAUGGCUCUGACAACGGGUGUGGCUAGUUUGAUGCGUUUGCUCUUGCUGCCAGCGUGUCGCAUGUGUGUGUCGGCUCCGGGCGUUGCUUGGCGGGCGCCGCGCCGGCAAGAGAGCAUAUAACUGGAAAUUGUAGUUAGAGCAAAAGCCCAACUGGUUGCUGUGUUGCUGUUUAGUUUUAGCUUGCUCUGUUGAGGGCCGGGGAUGUCCCAGCUCAGCUCGCAGCGAGCACGAGCGAAGAUAUAGCUGAGCGUCGAAAGCAAAACAAGAGCCCAGCUGAUUGCUGUAGUGCUGUUAAUAAUUCUCGACGUGCUCUGCGCACGUCUCCUGAGCAUGGCUGCAGCUCCAAGUGAGCUCGACGCGCUUUGUUUUAGCAGGUCUGGCUCCUCAAAUGCAUGUGUUUGUUCUUGUGCACUUUGCUGUGUCUGGCGGGGGUCUGGGGGGGUGCGGGGUCGCUUGCAUGCGGGCGGCUGUUCUCGGCAGUGCGGCGAAGGGCUCGUGGGCUUCCGAGUCGGUCUUGUCAUAUUGCAGAGUCGUGGGUGGCUCGGCGCGUGCGUAAGCACAAGGCACGAGUACCCUUCUGCGACGUUGACCGACUCGGCGUUCCUGGCGCCGCUUCCCGUCACUGUAACAAGUAGUCCCAGAGUGAUAGCGGUAGUAAACCAUCUCGCUGAGCCUACUUGCUUGUCCAGUCGUGUCCGUUUGCUCGCUUCCUCUUUGGCCAUCUAGUGUCUCGCGAGUGAGUGUGCUAGAAGGCUUCAAGAGUAGAUUACAUUCUUCUUAAUGGCUGGGGGUGCGGGACGUGCGGCGGGCCAUCACCGCGGCUAACCCGGCCGCACCUCCGGCUGGCGCAGCGGGAGGCGGCGUGGCAGUGUGCAGCGGCGCAGCUGACCACCACGGCGGCGCAGCAUUUCCACAAUAACCCGGUGGCUCUGGACCCCUGGCUCCACCGCACCUCUGCGGCAGCCGGGCUGCAGAACACGCCGGCGAGAGAACUGCAGUCGUAUGCGUCCCCGUCCCAGCAGUCAGGUGAGGUGGCUAAUGCUGCGGGGGCUGUGUCCUACGUCCACUACACGGGGCGGCUCUUGGAGCCUGGACCUGGCGUGCUGCCCCCGGCGGUGGAUGGGGCGUGGCAGCCUGCCUGUGUGCUGCAGCACCGCAAGCCGCGGCACCUGUGGACCUUUGAAGAGCGGGCGGCGUACGAUGCAGCAUCACCAGGGGAACGGGCAGGGGCGUGGCCUCGGGCGCCGUACUUCCUGGCGCCGGAGGCUGGGGUGGUGGUGCACCCGGAGCACUGCCGGAUUGCGGGUGUCAGCUUGGCGGACUACACGGUGCGGGACGUGCGGCGGGCCAUCACCGCGGCUAACCCGGCCGCACCUCCGGCUCCGGCCCGCCCCGCAGCCAUGCCGUGCCCGGCGCCAGCACAGCAGGCGGGGGGGUCGGGGACCCAGCCGGCGGCACAGUCGCGGCUGGCGGAGCGGGAGGCGGAGUGGCAGCGUGCAGCGGCGCAGCUGACCACCACGGCGGCGCAGCACUUCAACAAUAACCCGGUGGCUCUGGACCCCUGGCUCCACCGCACCUCUGCGGCAGCCGGGCUGCAGAACACGCCGGCGCGAGAACUGCAGUCGUAUGCGUCCCCGUCCCAGCAGUCGGGUGAGGGGCCGCGGCGGUCCGCGCGGCUGCAGGAGCAGGCGGCGGGAGGGGCGGGACCUAGCACUGGGCCUGCCACGGCGGCGGCGGCAGCAGCGGCGGCGGUGGAGGGCGACCCUCGCAUGCCGCCCCCGGAUGCGUCCCUUCUGCGGGGUACGUGGCGGAGGCUGUGGGACAGCCACGCUAGUCGGGGGGCAAAGGUGCUGGUGUACCGGCUGCAACAUGCUUACCUGCCUUGCGGGCUGUACAGGGCGGGCAAGGGAAUUCGUCCACGGGUGACCACGGGGUGCGGGGGGUUGGGGGCGCACUGUCCUCACCCCGCCUGCGGGCCACCUGGCCCGCGGGCGUGGGCCAGCCUAACGCACAUCUUCCUGGAGUGUCCAGCUUAUGCGCAGGCGAGGACGUGGCUGCAGCAGCUGUGGGCCUGCGUUGCGCCCCAGGCAGCGGCGCCGCCAGUGACGGACGCGGGUUUCAUGCUGGGGGACCGCAUGGGUAUGUGGGCCUCAGGCCCGCGGGGGGCGGGCGCGCUGCUGUGGAGCACUUUGCGGGCCACCUUCUUGUACGCCGUCUGGUGUGCAUACUGGUCCCGCGAGCCUGCUAAGCAGACAUCGGAGCAUGUGGUUCGGGAGGUGGUCAGCGAGCUGCGCAGGGUGAUGCAGCUGCGUUUCACUGCCGCCACGCUAACCCCUGAAACCCUGUCGGCUCUGCCCACACAGCUUCUCACCGCGCAGCUCAAGGCGGCUAAGCUGGAGCACUUUGUUGCCAUCUGGACGGCGGGUGGCGCGCUUUGUGAAGUGGAGGAGGUUCAGGGUGGGUCACCGAAGUUGAACUUGCGGCUGACGCUUGCAUCACCUGUGCAGGCCCCCUAGGUUUCCUUUUGGGCGGCGUUUCUUUCCAGGCGCUGGCGUGGUGUACUAUCGUCAUCAGCUUAUCUGGCGCCCAUGUGUUUUAGCUCUGGCUGGCGUCACAGCGCCUGGGCGGCUGUGGGCCUUCCUGCACAGCGCGUCUUGCAGCGGGCUGGAGCCCGCUUAGUCAGCGCCACAUCUGGCCCGAUUAGUCUUCUGCUUGUGUCUCCUCUGCCGGUUCUCCUGGGGUGUUGCUUAAGCAACCGACUUGUGGGGGUGGGGUGGGUUUGGGCGGGGCGAGUGCGUAGCGCUGGUGUUUUCUUUUCUGGCGCGCGGUGGUGGUGGUUCUUGCGGCUAGGCUGUGGUGUAGGUUGGUGCUUGGGUUAGGUCUGGCGGUGUUUUUGUGAAACCCCUCCCGGGGGGCGGGGGGGCCAGCCUCCUGCUCUGUCUGCCGGGUCGGGGUGGGGUGGGGUGGGGUGGGAUGGAUGGGGGUGGUUGGUGGCGGUUUUGAGGUGUUUGCUUUCUGUCUUCUUCUCUUUUCUUCUCUUCUUGCCCUGUCAGGGUUCUGGUCUCGGGGACCAGGCUGUUUUCAGGCAGCAGGGGGGCAGCGCGUCUGCCCCUGUUCAACCUUGUAAGGAUGAUUCCUCAAAAAAAAAGGGGGCCGCGGCGUUCCGCGCGGCUGCAGGAGCAGGCGGCGGGCGGGGCGGGACCUAGCACGGGGCCUGCCACGGCGGUGGCGGCAGCAGCGGCGGCAGUGGAGGGCGACCCUCGCAUGCCGCCCCCGGAUGCGUCCCUUCUGCGGGGUACGUGGCGGAGGCUGUGGGAUAGCCACGCCGGACAGCCGGUAAGACACUCAAGCCGAUUUCGUUAAGGCUUCGAGAGAUCCUGGGUUCGAAUCCCGGUCACCCCACCAGGAAGGGCCCUGGUUUACCAAAACCCAUCCACACCUUGGUGGUGUGUAGACCCCCCCUGUGGUGCAGGGAGUCUCUAGGGUACAAGGCUUUUAAAGGGGGGGUCGUCUAAAUGGUUAAGACACUCAAGCCGAUUUCGUUAAGGCCUCGAGAGAUCCUGGGUUCGAAUCCCGGUCACCCCACCAGGAAAGGCCCUGGUUUACCAAAACCCUUCCACACCUUGGUGGUGUGUAGACCCCCCCUGUGGUGCAGGGAGUCUCUGGGGUACAAGGCUGGAGCUCUGGGCCUGCAACUGGCGAGCUUUCAAGUUCAAGAUCCAAGAUUCAAGUGGAGCUCUGGGCCUGUCAACUGGAGAGCUCUAGAUGAUCUGUGUGGUCAUGGCAGUGGCUGUAGUUGUCACCUAGCUGUUGAGAACUCCAGUAGGUGUGUGGUGUCACCUGGCUGUUGAGGUUUCCAGUAGGUGUGUGGUGGAACAAAAACUUCUCUUCUCUUCUCUGAUCUCUGGCCCUAUCGAGGUUCUGUGAUAUGAUCCAGGCUGCCUUGGCAGUAGGGUGGUAGUGCGUCUACCACCGCAACCUUGUAAGGAUGACUUUUAAAAAAAAAAAGCCACGCCAGUCGGGGGGCAAAGGUGCUGGUGUACCGGCUGCAACAUGCUUACCUGCCUUGUGGGCUGUACAGGGCGGGCAAGGGAAUUCGUCCACAGGUGACCACGGGGUGCGGGGGGUUGGGGGCGCACUGUCCUCACCCCGCCUGCGGGCCACCUGGCCCGCAGGCGUGGGCCAGCCUAACGCACAUCUUCCUGGAGUGUCCAGCUUAUGCGCAGGCGAGGACGUGGCUGCAGCAGCUGUGGGCCUGCGUUGCGCCCCAGGCAGCGGCGCCGCCAGUGAUGGACGCAAGCUUCAUGCUGGGGGACCGCAUGGGUAUGUGGGCCUCAGGCCCGCGGGGGGCGGGCGCGCUGCUGUGGAGCACUUUGCGGGCCACCUUCUUGUACGCCGUCUGGUGUGCGUACUGGUCCCGCGAGCCUGCUAAGCAGACGUCGGAGCAUGUGGUUCGGGAGGUGGUCAGCGAGCUGCGCAGGGUGAUGCAGCUGCGUUUCACUGCCGCCACGCUAACCCCUGAAACCCUGUCGGCUCUGCCCACACAGCUUCUCACCGCACAGCUCAAGGCGGCUAAGCUGGAGCACUUUGUUGCCAUCUGGUCGGCGGGUGGCGCGCUUUGUGAAGUGGAGGAGGUUCAGGGU